AAGCCCAAAACUUAGGUCCUCAUCAAGUGAUGGUUUUCACUUGGGUUAUGAGAUAAUGAUUAAUAAAAACGAUUAAAAAUUUUUAUUAUCCGUCAAUAUUUAUACUAAAUUAUUUUAAUUUAUCAUGAUUUAAUAACGUAAAAAAGAAUAUAUUUAGUGGGAAAAAGACACUUUUUUUUGGUCCACUCAUGAAAUGGCCACAGCUAGACAGGUACAAGUUGUCCAAUAUCAUACUAAUAUUAAUAUGUUAUAUUUCUCUUUUACAUAUUUUUCAAAAUAGAUUUUUUUUUUAAAACUAUAUUUUAGUUAAGUAGAGUACAAUUUCUCUUUAUUAAAGUGGUAGUAAUACUCAAGAGCAAAUAAUUUUAAAAAUAAAAUAAAAUAAAACAAACAAUUAAUUUUGUUUUAAAUAUCUAAAACGAUCAGUAAUUUGAGACGAAAAAUAUAAAUUUGAGAGUAGUUCUGGGGUUUGUGGUUGGACAACAAUAUACUUGUGAAUUGGACCCCAAAAAUAAUAGAACACUUGUCAAUUGGACCCAAAAAAUUAAAUAUAUACUUUUGAAGGUCAUUAUUAUUGCAUGACUAAAUUAACUCACAUAUCCAUUUGAUAAUUUGACUUCCAUAAGAAAUACAAUACAUGAGUAAUAGUCGUGUAUUUUAUAGCCUCGUGAUCAAUGUAAUAGUUGAAAAUUAUAAAGUUUGCAGACAGAAUAAAUCUUACAAUGCGUGAAGUAAUAAUAAAUUUUAUAGCCUCGAGAUCAAUGUAACAGUUGAAAAUUAUGAAGUUUGCAGAUAGAAUAAAUCUUACAAUGUGUGAAGUAAUAGUCAUGUAUUUUAUAGCCUCGUGAUCAAUAUAAUAAUUGAAAAUUAUGAGAUUUGCAGACAGAAUAAAUCUUACAAGGCGUGAAGUAAUAGUAAUGUAUUUUAUAGGCCUCGUGAUCAAUGGAACAGUUGAAAAUUAUGAAGUUUGCUGACAGAAUAAAUCUUACAAUGCGUGAAGUAAUAGUCAUGUAUUUUAUAGCCUCGUGAUCAAUAUAAUAGUUGGAAAUUAUGAGAUUUGCAGACAGAAUAAAUCUUACAAUGCAUGAAGUAAUAGUAAUGUAUUUUAUAGGCCUCGUGAUCAAUGUAAUAGUUGAAAAUUAUGAGGUUUGGAAACAGAAUAAAUCUUACAACGCGUGAAUUUAAAUUUUUUUAAUUAUGGUUUUAAAAAAUAUAAGAUUGAUGCUGGAAAGUGAAAAAGAAAAAUUGAGAGCUAAAAAUGUCUCCUACUUUGUGCUUGUACAAUUAAUGUGCCAGCUCUCUUGCUUCUUACUAUUAUAUUAUUUUUGUUCCCUAUUUUUUCUUAAAAUUUUUUUAAAAAGAAAAAAGAGAGAGAGAGAGAGAAUUCAUAUACUAAUUGGAAGUGAAUUGUUGAAUCCUAACAAGUUGAAAAGGUACUGCUAUUACUAAAUGUAUCCAUAUUUUCUUCAAUUUUAAAGCGUUUUUUGAAGUGAUAAAAAAUAAAUUGCAAUUCACAGAUAAAAUACGAAGAAAUAUAGUUUUAUUGAUCAAGAUUGCAAGAAUAAUUUUGUUCCUUCCUUAUUAUUGUUGUGUUAAUUCUGGAUUACUCAAACCCCAGAAAUAAUUUUGUGUUAAAAGUUACUUAUUGGUCCUUUAUCAUUUCUAUAUGCUAUAUUUUCUAGUUUUUACAAUUUGGGUGUCAAUUCUUUUGCUUAAAUGAUUUUUGUAUUUUAUGUUGUUUUGUGGUUUUUAGCCACUUGGUUUUUGUGAUGUGUAGCUGAGAUUAGAUUUAUUUGUACUAAAUUGUUUUAUUUAUUAUUUUGCUUAAUUUAGUGUACUUUUGCUUUUGGAGCUUUUGACAUUUUUGUGUCCCCAAAGAUACUGUUUUCUUUUCUUUAUCUUUACAUUUUUCACUUUCUUUAGUUUUUACCCAAUCCGAAAAGGCUAAAAAUUUUGCAUUUUUGUACACAAAUCUAUAUUUCUCUUCUUUAUAGUAGCAUUCCUUGAGCUUCCUUUUGAUACUAGAUUUUAAAGUCAUAAACUUAAGAAUACGAAGUAAUAUGAUCAAAUUUCACGAUUGAACAGAUAUUUAAAGAUAAAAUUUUAAAGAUAAAAUUUUAAAUCUAUGGCCAAAUGCGAGUUUUUUGGUAAUUGAGCUAUAGAAAAGUGUGAAGCCUUGCCAACUUAUGAGGGCAUAUUGUUUCCUGUUUUUCUUGUCUUUUUUAAUGUUCUUUUUUUCAAAGUUCAAUGCUUUAUGUCUUCUUAACUUCAUUGUCUUUUUAUUGAUGAAUGACUCCAUAAUUUCUAUCAAUUUGACUUGUAUAAAUAGAGAUAGACAGUUGAUACUGAGUUUAAGAAAGUAAAAAGAUUCUUGAAUCUAUGUUUACUGUACUAGACUAUUCUUUAAUUUUUAUGAUCAAAAACAUGUCACGUGGAACGUUAGAAUUAGAGGAGCUACCAAAACAAGAAAAGAGACUUUUUUUUUCUUUCUUGAAACAGACGAAAAAGGAAAGUAAAACAAACGAAUAAAACGGAGGGGGAGUAUAUUUUAUUCAUAGCUCACAUGCAAUUUCCUUUAAACAAUGAUUUGGUUGAUUAGUCUGGUUUCUAUACUUGCUGGCAUUUCCAUCUUCUUAUGUACUUUUAAAUAAACAAUUUCAUUAACUAAUAUUUUCUUCUUCUUGUUGUUCUUUUGUUUAGCUUGUUUUUCAGUUGACUGAAUUGAUAUUUGACUAAAGGAUAAAGAGAGCUUAGUCAUUUCAACAUUGGUUUGCUUUGCUUGAUCAUAAAUCUGAUCUGUGCAUCCUGUGAGAUCCAUUUUAUUAGCUUUGCUGUCAAUCAGAUGGUUGUUUUGUCAGUCUGAGCAUAAUGGGAGGUUGUGUAUCGACGAGCAGUAGUACUUGUAGUAGCAGGAGCAAUGGAGAAAAAGUCUCACCUGAAUGUUUAGGAAUAAACAUGUUUAGUCGAAAAAAGAGUAGAAGAACUUUUUCUGAUCAUGUCAUUGCAUUGAAGCAUCUAAGUUCAAUUCCUAAUCGGAUCUUUACUAAUGGCAAGAGUCGUACUUCUUGCAUAUACACACAACAAGGACGUAAAGGCAUUAAUCAGGACGCGAUGAUUGUCUGGGAAGUAAGUCGUGCUUUCUAUGCAUAGAACUCUUUUGCAUCAUUCAAAAAUCUGAUAUUAUGUACUUAUGUAGGAUUUCAUGGCGGAAGAUGUGACCUUUUGUGGUGUAUUUGAUGGUCAUGGUCCACAUGGUCAUCUUGUUGCUCGUAAAGUAAGGGAUGUACUGCCCCUGAAGUUAAUGUCCUUUUUGCAAUCAGUUGAAUCAAAGGGUAAUGGUUCUGCUGCAGAUUGCAGCAACGAGAAUCCUGAAUCGGAAGUUUUGGAUCCUGAUAAGGAUCAAGUGAACCUGGAUACUCAGCGGAGAGAAGCGUUUCUUCAAUCUUAUAAGGCAAUGGACAAAGAAUUGAGGUCCCAACCUAACUUAGAUUGCUUUUGCAGUGGUAGUACUGCUAUUACUCUAGUAAAACAGGUAAGUUUAGUCACAUUUGUCAUGCUAUAUCUUCUUCCAUUUCUGAGCUUAUUAUUGUUCUUUUUCUGUUUUAAGGGUUCAAAUCUUUACAUGGGCUAUAUUGGUGAUUCACGCGCAAUCUUGGCAUCAAAGGAUGACAAUGAUUCAAUGGUCGCAGUCCAGUUAACUGUUGAUCUGAAGCCUGAUUUACCUAGUAUGUCUCUUUUUAUAGUGAUUUAAUGAUUAACCGUUUCGGAAUUCCUAUUAGAUAAUCUAGUAUUUCUGUUAUCAGAGGAAGCUGAGAGGAUAAAACAGUGUAAAGGUCGGGUUUUUGCAUUGCAAGAUGAGCCGGAAGUGCAGAGAGUUUGGUUGCCAUUUGAUAAUGCCCCUGGAUUAGCAAUGGCUCGAGCAUUUGGUGAUUUUUGUGUGAAGGACUAUGGGGUAAUAUCUGUACCAGAAUUUUCUCACCGAGUUCUUACAGAGAGGGACAAGUUCAUUGUUCUUGCUUCUGACGGGGUAUGUUAAGCUGUCUGAAUCUCUAUUUUUAGUCUAAGAUGAACUUAAGUAGAGAGGCCUGAUCAGUGAGGAUACAUAUAGUCGAUCUAGCUUGGUUAAGACAAUUGCUAUAUAGUUAUUGUUGUUGUAGUUGAGGAAACAGAGAUUAUCAUGGGAAAAAGAACUACUAGUGACUGAAUGUAAACUCUUGAUUGCAGGUUUGGGAUGUCUUGAGCAAUGAGGAAGUGGUUGACAUAGUGUCAUCAGCGUCUACACGAUCAUCAGCUGCUAGAAUCCUAGUUGACUCUGCUGCACGCGAAUGGAAAAUUAAGUACCCGACUUCAAAAAUGGAUGAUUGUGCUGUUGUUUGCUUAUUCUUGGAUGGAAAGAUGGACUUGGAAUCUGACAAUGAGGAGGAGCAAUGUCUCACUUCUGCUGCACUUCAGAGUAACCAUUCUGGUAUUGCUGCUGAAUCCGAUGACGGGCACAACUCUGAGCCAUCUCUACAGAGAAACACUACUGUCAGAUCAGCUGAAGAGAGCGAUAUCUAUAAACGAGUAAUAGCUGAAGCAGAAGCAGAUCAAGAAACCACAAUGACAGAAGAUCAGAAAUGGUCAGGAUUGGAAGGCGUUACGCGAGUUAACUCUCUGGUUCAGCUUCCAAGAUUUUCUGAUGAGAGGCAAGGACCUUAACUUUGUGUUGUUCAAUUAUGAUUGUUGUUAUAUACAAAUUCUUUCAUCAAUAGAGAGAGUAGCAUUGGUUCCAUCAUCUACAUUCCAAGCAAAUGUAUUCUUGCUGCAACAUUUUAGAUCGUAAGAAUUCAUAUAGCUGACGUCAACUUAUUUGAGAUUGAGGCGUUGUUGUUGUAUUCUAGACCGUGUAUAUGUUCACCCUCUUCCAACUUUCAUACACGGGGUAAGCGAUGCUUAUCUUAGCAAGUUUCUAUUGUUUUUUGUGGCUUUGGGUUCGUUCACUAAAUUGGCUUCAUUUCAAGAUACUUUGUGUACUGAGCUGCCCUUUGAGCCGAAAGUUUCACAUGUUAUAUAGUAUAUUGUGAGUAAUAGUUAUGGUGGAAAAAGGAUUACUAUAGUAGUUGUAAAUAUUUGUUUUGAGACAAAUUACACCUCAAAAUUUGAAAUUUUCUUAGUUGAUGUAUCACCAACUAUUUAUCAAAAUACAUCUCGAAACUGACUGAUCAAGUGUCUGAGUAUAAUCGCCAAAUUAUAACAGAGUAAAUAUCACCGGCCUUUUUAUGAUUUUCAUACUCCAAAACGCGCCUCAAACUUUGAUUUCACCAAAUAUUAUAAUUCGGUUAACCGACAGGUAAAAAAGGAAAGCAGUACCAAAUCUUAACCCUACCUCGUGAAGAUACACAGAUUCUAAAAGAAAGCAAUAAUAACAAGCUGAAACAGCAUCAAGAUAAAUUUGUAUAGAUGAUGAAUAUGCUUUUGACUGAGUUAUGUUACACUAAACUCCUCUUUUUAUAUCUUCCUUCAUUCACCAAGGGAUAAGGCCAAGGAGAGUACAUACAGGCUAUAUAUAUAUAUACACACACUUUUAAUUUCCUAAAUAAAUAGGUUUCUCAAAGGCUGGCUAAUUAUUUACUAUAACUUGAUAAUAAAACUUACGAAUCUGUUAAGUUGUGUAGCUUGAUUAAUCCUGCAAAUGCAAACAGAAGAAUAAGCUUUAGUGCAUUAAAAGUGAGGGAACUUCAAGAUUGAAGAGGGCAGUUUAGUUUGGACCAGUACCUCGGGCAAUUUACUCGAUGAUGAAUCAGAUUUAGCUUCUGAUGAUUCUUCAGAUAUCCGCGCCUCUGAUUUCUCAUUUGAGUAACUGCAAAUACGAAUUUCAAGUGUCAGGAAGAUACUAUAUAUGCCUUUUCUAUGACGUUCUAGUGCAUAUAUUAUGACAUGUAUAGACACUUAGAUCUGCGAAGUUGGAGUGCUUAUUUGCGAGCUGACUGAAUGUCAAAUAACUGUCUAAUCCAUAGAUGAAGUUGACAAGAAACACAAGCAACAUCUAUGGUGUAUCCAUUAAUGUCCAUAGAUGAAGUUAAAAAGAAACAGAAGCAACGUCUGUGGUGUGUCUAUAUAAUGUCCUUGUAAGUUCGUUCUUUAUAUUGGUAACGAUAAGAAUACAGACAAUUUCCACAACUAAUUUUGUCACUGGUUAUAUGAAAGCAAUCGUAAAGUUGAAUCAGAAACUCACGUCGAGAGAAUAGUAACCCAAACCAGUUCGACACAGUCCACCCAAAGGAGUCUUUGCUCAAGAGGAAUAACGCCGUAAGUUAUUAGGUGAGCAAAUGGCCAAAGUUUCCACCCUGCCUGAAAGAUAUAAGAACUGAUUUGGUAUUCUCAAAGAAAUCAUCUCUGCUAAACUAGAGUUUUAUACAAGUACCAGAACAACAAAGAGUUGUAUUAAGAGAAGAACAGUCUCGAAACGUUUUGUGGUUCAUCUGAAAUGACAUAUCAAUCCAAAACUUCAAAUUUAAAUAGCUUUACACAAUAAUAUAGGUAAACGAAAAGACAUGGAGUACUUUCUGUGCUCAUGAUGUCAAACAUCUUCUUUCUUUUAUGAGUAGUAAAAUUUAACUUUUCUCCUUUUGGUGGAUUGGAAGAUGGAAAUCAGGCCGCUGAAACAUUUUCUUCGUUAGAAACAUGCAGGUCAUAUUAGAUCUCUCGAUUAGCAUUGAUCAGUAUCAUUAUUCUUAGGAUUUCCAGUACCUCAUGGCAAUGAUAAAAAGGAUAAAUCAUAAAACAAAAAAAGACAACAAUAUAUUGGCAUUGAAGAUAUAUUCAGCUUCAUAUCAAACCAAAUUUUAACAGAUCAAACAGUAACAUGGACUAACUUCCGCUGAAACAGCGAAAACCAAGUCAAAAAUCUUGAGCUAAUAAUACCCGGUUAUAGCUAUAUUCAUCUCCAGAUCAUUAAAUAUUGCAAUCAUUUAAGAUAGACCGAAAGAAUGCCUUACUGUUAACAUGGGCAAAAACGUGGCUCUAAGUUCGCCAAAAAUAUUGGAUGCAGAUUCGAGACGCAAGAAACCAAGGACAACAAAAUAGAUGCUAUUCCAAAUUGCUGACCAAAUGGUUUGGUCAAAAGCAACUUUAGCUGGAACCACCCACCAAUCGUUGGACGGGAAAAGAGCCUGUACAUUAGAGUUGAACCUUUUAGGUUUCAUCAAAAUAUGUCAAAAGAUAUGGCUGUUCAUUCAAGAUACAAGCCAGAAGCAUCACCUCACAAAAUUGGUAAUAGUAGUGGGAAAGGGAACCAUGAAGUGAAAAUCCAACAAGACCAGAUCUAAACAUGCGAGUCCGGUCAAAUUCAAGAAGAGGCUUUCCUUCAUAGCACUGUAAAUCAACAGAACAAAAUGAAACAAUUUAGAUUAAUGAAAACAGCUCUCAAUAUUUCGGAAGAGUUUAACUUCCACAAACUGAUGGUAUACAAAAGUUUUACACUGUCAAAUCACUUAAAAGAUAACUAUGUGUAACUAUCAGACGGUACUUACUUGAGCGGUCCAGUCUCCUACAGAGUAGACAAUACCACUAAUCGCCAUUUUAGCCAACACAGGAUUUGCUUUCAGCGCUUCUUCAUAUGCAAUCCAGUUGUGCUCCGGGGCAUACCUCAGUAUCUCGUAAAGGGUCCAUCCCUGAGUACACAAUCAAUAAAAUUAAAACCAUACGGGGGAGCAGGCUACUAUAUGUUGAAUUGUGCGAUCAUGUCAGAGACACUACACUUUUAUUUACUUAAUUAUAUAUCUUCAACUCGCGCCCUCACAUCCAGACCUGAUUCUUCUCCACGGUUCAAGGACGUAAAAGUUGUUUUACCUGAUUCUUCUUCACGGUUCAAGGACGCAAAAGUUGUUUUUGAUAAAGGGCGGCGGUGAGAUUUAGACCUUAACCCAGCCUUGUUAGCAUGUCGUAUUUUGUGACUAUUUCAUCUAAAAGCUUAAAUUGCUAUGAAGUAUAAACUUCUAUUUACUUAAUUUAUCAGUUCAGUAAACUUAGUUCAUUCCUUUUGUCAUCAUUUAUCCCAGUGACAAAGCCAAUUCUACUAUUACCUUUAUGAUCACCAGUACAGAAGAAAAUCCAUAAAAUAUAUAUAUUCUUUCCUCGUCAAUUUGUUUAGCAUACUUUCCUUUUUAGUCCGUUUCAAAACGGAUGUUCUUUCUUUCUUCAUCAACUCUUUAAUUCUUUCUACGUGAUCGAAAGACAUUUUGAUAUAAUCUACAUAUCUUUACUAUAAGCCACAACAGUCAAAAGUCAUUAUGUCAAGUCAAAACGAGACAAAACAUAUUUAAUUACAAAUCCACUAACUAGUAAACACAAGCAAACGAAUACAUAAACUUCAAAUCCUAAUUCCAAUUCUGAAAUCACACAAGGGGGCACCCCCCCCCCUUUUUUUUUCCUUUCCAGAUAUGAAAUAUCCAAAAGCAAACAAGAUCAAAAUGAUAGAACUUACAUGCCAAUACUCAUGAUCUAUGGUGAGUAACCUUGUGACAGCAAGUGUACCAGCACCAAGCACAAUUGAAGCAUUAAAAAACCUAUCUUUAUCCAACAAAAUGUACAAGAAGCUAUUCUUGAUUUUUUCUUCAAUUUCAGUUCCAUUUGAUUCUUUCUUUUCAUUUUCUUGGUUGGCCUCUGCUUCUUUAUCUUCUGUCACAGCAUUUAUUGAACAAACAAGACUUGUUCUUGAUGGGGUUUUUGGUAUAUUAUGUAUGGUGAAAGUUGGAGAAAAGUUGAUGGAUAAAGUUUGAGUCUUUCUGGAUUCUUGAAAGGAUCUUUUUGAGGAAGAAGAGAGGAUAUGAGUAGCAAAAUUGUUGACUGCUGACAUGAUUGGUUUGUUAUUGCAGAAGAAGAAAAAAAACAAGUUUGAAUGGGAAAUGAAUUUACUUUUUGUAGGUAUUUGAGGGGUGGGGUUACUCCUAGAAAAAAAAAGAAAAUGUUUUACGUAUUAAACCGAACUCAAUAUUUUUAGCUCAAAUAUAUAUAUUCAUUUUGAAACAAUUUAUUUUAUAAGGUAUUUUAUGCAUAAUGUAAUACAUAAGACAUGUGUGUUUACUUGCUUAUUAUUCUCUCCGUUUUAAAAAAAAGGUCUAAUUUGACUUAAAACGGAGUUAAGAAAAAAAAAAAACUUAUGUCAAAUGUAUCAAAGUACCCCCACGUGAAAAAAAAUAUUUAUUUUUACUUGUCCAGUUUUUAAAAAUUGAGAUUUAAGUGUUAAACCAAAAAAUUUGAAAAAAUAUUUAGGUUCUACCGAGACUUGAACUCGGGCUAUUGGAUUCAGAGUCCAAUGUCCUAACCACUAGACCAUAGAACCCCUUUUGUCUUCAUAUCUUAACAUUUUAUUUUAAACUAAACUCAAAUAAUUUUAUUAUAGACACUUUCUAUUUUCCAUCUUUGAUUUUUAAAAUAAAAUUUUCAAAACUUUAUAUAUAUAUAUAUAUAUAUAUAUAUAUAUAUAUAUAUAACAAGUCAUGAUAAGUAUUUAAGGAUAUAAAUAUGAAAUAUCUAACAGAAAUAUUUUAAAAGGGUUAUUCAAUUAUUUCUUCGUUCUUUUAAGUUGAAUUUUAAAUAUGAUUUUUUAUAUAAUGGAUAAUUUGAUCUUCACGAAUAGUUAAAUACUUCAAUUUCUAUUGUACUAUUUAAAAAUAUUAACUUAAUACAACUAUAUUUCAUGAGUACUUUAUCGUUGAAUGAUACAUUUUUAAAAUUAGAAUUUAUCUUUGAAUCAAAAGAUAUUUAAAGAUGACUAUCGAGCUAGCAAAUGUGAGAUGAGGUGAGUUUAAAGCUAUGUGAGGCCAAACACGUUUAACGUUAUGUCAUGUACAUUUUUAAGAUUCAAACUUAUUUUUGAAUCAAAAGAUGUUUAGGAAUGAUAAUAGAACGGAUACAUAUGAAACGGACGAAUUUAAAGUUAUGUGGUGCAAAAUAAAUUUAAGGUUAUAUAAAACGAAAAAAAGGCAAACGAGUCGAAAUGAGUUUUUCUUAAAAUUAUACGAACCGAGACGAAUUAUGGGUAUAUGUGAUUUUAUGUCUGAUCAAAUAUUAUGUUUAGUUGCCAAAAAAACUAAAGAAAAUAAGUUGAGAAAUUGUUAAAAUGUUCUUCUUCCCCAAACUGAAGAAGUGAGAAAAACCCUUAAAUCCCACCUUUCUGCCAUUGCUGCAACUUCAAGAAUCACCACUAACCUCAGCAAUGGCACAAACAAAUUUUCACCCUUCACACAAUCAAUCACUCAACCAAAUACUUCGCAGUUUCAAACAAGUUACGAUCGAUUACAUCAAUCCUCUGUAUCCGUUUAGAUAUAUUAAGACUCAUUCCAUUAAAAAGAUUCCUCUUUUCCGAAUGCCCAUAUCGGAAAAAUCAUGUAUUUACUUGAAUUUCACUUCAAAACCCAAAUGGGUAUUCACGUAUUCUAACAUUCCAUCUCCAGAAUGGGUGAAUUUUCCUCUUUUUCGAGUUCCCAAAUUCAAAAAACCGUAUUUUUAUGUAAAUUUCACUUCAAAACCCAAAUGGGUAUUCACUGGUUCUAACCUUCCACCUCCAGAAUGGGUGCAGCCAUUCGUUGAUCUUUCUGACUUAGUUACAGACCGAAAAGAUCUCAAACCGUCGCCAUGGGUGUCUCAAAUUUUGAAUCUUUUAGAUAAUUCACCAUUGAUGGAGCAGAAUUUAGAUGUUUAUUGUUGCAAAUUUCUCAUUAAAUUAUCGCCUAGUUUUGUUGCAUAUGUAUUGAAGUCAGAUUACCUUACAGGUAAACCCGAUAUCGCGUUUCGUUUCUUUUAUUGGGCUGGUAAGCAAAAAGGGUAUGCUCAUAAUUGUGAAUGCUAUGUGUUUUUAGUUAAGAUUUUAUCUGCUUCAUGUGAAUUGGAUAGGAUUAAGCAUGUGUUUAGUGAAUUUAAGCAUAAAGGUUUCUUGAUGAAUGUGGCAGCUGUUAAUUCUUUGAUUAGGAGUUUUGGAGAACUUGGGAUGGUUGAAGAAUUAUUAUUUGUGUGGCGACAAAUGAAAGAAAAUGGUAUUGAGCCUAGUUUAUAUACGUAUAACUUUUUGAUGAAUGGACUGGUGAAUUCUAUGUUUGUUGAAUCUGCCGAACGCGUUUUUGAGGUUAUGGAAAGCGGGAAAGUUAAUCCGGAUAUUGUUACGUAUAAUACUAUUAUUAAGGGGUACUGCAGAUCUGGGAAGCUUCAAAAAGCAAUGGAGAAAUUUAGAGAUAUGGAGGUUAGGAAAGUAGAGCCUGACAAGAUUACCUACAUGACUGUGAUGCAAGCAUGUUACGCGGAUGGAGAUUUUGAUUAUUGUUUGGGACUCUAUCACGAAAUGGAGGAAAAGGACUUGGAUAUUCCACCACACGCUUAUACGUUAGUGAUUGGAGGGCUUUGUAAAAUGGGGAAGGUUUUGGAAGGGUUUACUGUUUUUGAAAAUAUGAUCAAGAAAGGUUUUAGACCUAAUCUGUCAAUUUAUACUGCUCUAAUUGAUUCAUACAUGAAACAUGGAAACUUGGAUGAGGCUAUGAGACUUUUUGAUAGAAUGAAGAAUGAAGGAUUUGAACCGGAUGAGGUAACGUUUGGGGUUAUUGUAAAUGGCUUAUGCAAGAGUGAGAGGUUGGAUGAGGCCAUGCUGUGGCUUGAGUACUGUAAAAAUAACGAUGUAGCUAUCAAUGCCAUGUUUUAUUCAAGUCUUAUUGAUGGUCUAGGAAAGGCAGGGAGAGUUGAUGAGGCCAGAGAACUCUUUGAGGAGAUGGCUGAGAAGGGAUGUACACGUGAUUCUUAUUGUUAUAAUGCACUUAUCGAUGCCUUGGCCAAAAAUGGGAAAAUUGAUGAAGCUUUGGUGCUUUUUAAGAGAAUGGAAGAUGAAGGUUGUGAUCAAACAGUUUAUACAUACACAAUAUUGAUCAGCGGCAUGUUUAAAGAACAUCAAAAUGAAGAAGCACUUAAAUUGUGGCAUAUGAUGAUUGAUAAGGGUAUAACUCCAAAUGCUGCUUCUUUUCGAGCCCUUUCAACUGGGCUUUGUCUUUCUGGCAAGGUGGCUAGAGCAUGUAAAAUAUUGGAUGAGCUGGCACCAAUGGGUGUUAUCCUGGAGACAGCUUUUGAAGAUAUGAUAAAUGUUCUAUGCAAGGCAGGUCGUUUAAAAGAGGCUUGCAAAUUAGCUGAUGGGAUUGUGGAUAGAGGUCGAGAAAUUCCUGGAAAAGUUCGUACUGUUUUAAUUAAUGCAUUGAGGAAGACAGGGAAUGCUGAUAUGGCAGUGAAGUUGAUGCAUAGUAAGAUUGGCAUUGGAUAUGAUAGGAUGGGUAGCAUUAAAAGGAGAGUAAAGUUUCGAGUUUUGGUUGAAAGCUGAGGCAUUGGAUAAAGGGUAGCAUUAAAAGGAGAGUAAAGUUUCGAGCUCUGGUUGAAAAGUGAGGUGAAAACUGGAUGUUAGGGUUACUAUUGGGACAUUCAAGUUUGCUAUUAUGCUGUCAUGUGUGGUUAUUAGUGAAAUAUUCUGAGGCAAAACAGACAAAGAUGUGACUGGAGAAGCAAUGAACAUGUCAUUUGACAAAGCUAUGCAUAUCUGCCACUUUAUGGAGUUCUAACAAGCAAAGCAAGAGGUAAAGUUGAUUGAAAAUUUUGUCAAUGGAGUGUCUGACAAUUCAUGUUGCUUGCGUUAGAUCUGCCUUCUUUUGUUGAAACUGGAAGUAGUGUAGGGUAGCGUCACAGUCAACUCACAAAUUCUGAAGUGCAAUCUUUUCCGUAAUUCUGGUUAAGCCUGAGAGAUAUUUGAAGACGCCGACCACCUCUGUUGAUUUUAAAUACUUCAUCAAACUCUGUGACACCUAAAAUUGAUGGAUGGGAUUAUAUUAGUUACCAUCUUUCAAAGAUUCUUCUCAUAAGGUUUAUGCCUCCACCUUAUGCUUUCUAUCAGUUGAUUCAGCAGUUCUUGCAAUUCAUUCAAAUAUGGUACUCCCAGACAACUUAUCUCAUACUUGUUGUAAAAGAGGUACUAUCACAAUUCCAGGCUGCAGUUGCUGAAGUAUAAGCAGCUGGUAGAAUGCUUAUGUUUCUUUGUGGAGGUGACAAGUCAUCAUACGAUAAGUGUACCUUAAUCUUAAACCAUGUAUUGGAACUUAAGGACAUCCUACCUUGCCAGAUACUUCACAGAAGCUGAAAUUCAAACGCUUCUGGCUGUUGGCUUUUUUGGUGUAAUAUAUAUUAUGUAAAGGAUGAACAAUCUUAAAAACUUUAGGACUUCCUACCUUGCCAGAUACUACACAGAUGCUGAAAUUCAAAUGUUUUUAGCUGUUGGUGUAAUAUGUAUAAUACAAAAGAUGAACGUAGCAUGCUAAAUUUCAUAGGAUCUUUACAAGAAUGGGUUUUUGUAGAGCAGGAUUCCUUCUGUUUUUGUUUUUUUGUAAUGAAGGAUCUCUAACCAGUGUACUGCCUUUCACUAUCAUGGUUUUAGGCUGCUCUAUUUAUAUUUUUGUCUACCUAUUCAAUUUUGAGCAUAAUUCCUUCGUUUUCAUUUUUUCACUUAUCAAUUUUGAGGGCAAGGACAAAAGUCUAAGUUCACUUCUCCAAUAGGGGUCUCAGAAACAAUGUAUUUUUUUUUUUGAUAACUCAGCAAGAAUAUUACUAAUUUCAAAAACCAGCUAUAAGAUAUGAUGAGAGUAUGCAAAAGCUGACUCAGUCAGGUUUUCCCAAUUAAUCCUGUAGUGAGGUCGGAAAUCUCACUGGGUAUCCACUUCAUUCACAUUUUGAAGAUUACAUCAGAUAGUGACUGCAUACAAGCACUUGAAUUCAAGGUAUGUACAGAGUCAGCUUUGUCUUCUAAACAUCUGCGGUUUCUUUCCUCUUUACAACUAAUGAUUGAUAACUACAUCAGUGUGGCUUCAACAUAUAUGAUUUCUUAUCAUUUGGAAUUGUCCCAUUAAGUAUCCUCCAUAUUUUCUUUCUCUACAUUUUGUUUUACACAAUUAUAGUAAUAUAGUGUCUGGCUUUGAUUCUCUCUAAUGCUGAUUCACUUGUUCUUCAGCACUCGCAGCUCAACACUUCGUUAUAUUUAUUUUUUGACAAGGGCAGUGUCCUUGUCAGCUUACACACACUUGAAGUAUUUCACCGUUCUUUCCAACUAAAAUUGAAAGGAUUGUAUUACAUGGAGAUGUCGAUUUGUUUUUCACAGUAUACCUGCUGGUAAAGCUUGGGUAGAUGUGAAGAAUUUACCUAUAUUUUUUUUUUUGCUUCUGGUGCAAUUUGAACACUAAUUUAUUGACUGCUAGGCCACACCCUUGGAAUUAGUUUCAACACUCAUUUUGAUUAAUGGCUCCAUUUGAUAAUAUGCAGGCAAUUGAUUUUAUAGUCUUUAUGCUUCUUAGCGACAUCAAUUGUGUAAUUAGUUGCACUUUGACACUCAUGUCUUAGUUGCUAUAUUUUUUCUUCCUUCGCCAAACCAUGCUUUUGUUUAUCGAAAUCUUGCUUAUAUGUUAGAAGCUAUUUAUCUAAAUGUCUCAACUCCAAUCAGGAUAUAGCCUUUUGGGGAAUAGGUACUUGCAGUUGCUGUAAAUUUAUUUAUCACUUAUUGCUGGGCCCAGGAAGAUGUCCGCAUACACGGAUGACCAAGAAUUUACUUCUUUACAGAUUCUCGCAUGCAAGAAGAAAUAUUUGAUAUGGGGAUAGGGAAGUGGGAGCUGAAAGUCUAAAACCCAGCAGCAGAUGUAACUAAUAUUUUCAGCAGGCAUUUCCUGUACAACAAGUAAAGACACAUUGUUGUUUGGAACUUGGAGUGGACCCUUGGUGCACCUAUGAAGACUGGAGCAACGUGACCAACCUGUUUGUUUCCAAGUCAUUUCUGAGGUAAAAUGUUCUUGAGAUCUUUUAUCUAAAAUGACUAAUUAAAUUUAUUGGCACAUAUGAGAACAUUACGAGGGAUAGUCGUACAGAAGUAGCAGCAGGACAUUGAGACUUAAAAUAAUGCCUACAUGUUGUCCAUUUUCCACUGCUGUACAUUUGUUUCUGUACAUUGGUUGAGUGGCAAAGAGAAUUUUGCACUGUGCUCUGUCAUCUUUGUUUUCUAACGUCUAACAUCACUCGAAGGAGCUGCUUUUCAGUUAAAAACAUCCACAACUGCAGUCACUGUAAUAGGACCAAUUUGCAUGUUCUACCAUCUGUGACAUUUGUAGAAAUAUACCUCUAUUGCUUAUCCAUUCCAGUGUUGUCAAAGUCGUGUUUAAGCCUUGAAACGAGGCUCAAAAUGUGUAGAUCGGUUUGCCUUGUUUAAUGUGCGCUUUAGUGUGGUCAUCAAGGUUCUAAGGCAUAUUUUUUCUAGCCAACUCUUCUCUUCCGGAGAGACGACAUAAAAAAUUAAUAUUUUACUUUAUUGUAAUUUCUUUUCAAUUUCUUUGUUCAUAUAUUUGUCAUUUAUGUUUAUAAUUAUUAUUCUUGGAAUAUAUAUAUAUAUAUAUAUAUAUAUAUAUAUAUAUAUAUAUAUAUCUAUAUAUAUCUUUGCACCUUUUUUCAGUGAAGCUCACGCUAUAUUUGUGCUUAAACCCUCGAUUGACCUCAAAGUUUAUUUUGUGCUUUUUCGUUUGAUAAAACUGAUCCAUUCAUAUUCAUUCAGCCACACCAUAUGGAAAUUAUUAUUUGAUGGAAUAUGCCAAAGACAAUAUUUGAUAAUUUCAACAUAAUAAUUACUUGCUUGCUAUAUGCUCACACUCUCUAAAAAUGUUGUAUCCGUGUUAGAUCCUCCCAAAAUGAACUAUUUUUGGAGGAUCCUACACGCAGUUGGCAAUAUUUUUGAAGAGUCCGAACAAACAUAAAUUCCUUGAUCAUAAAGACAAUUUUGAUUUAUAGGUAAAAGUAAUGAGUUUAGGUGUGCAUAUAUCUUUUAGCACAACUUUAGAAAUUCAAUACUCACUCCGUUUCAAGAAGAAUGACCUUAGUUUGACUUGGCACAGAGUAUAAGAAAAUAAAAAAGAUUUUUCAAUCUUAUGGUCCUAAAUUAAUGUUAAUUCAAAUGUACAAAAGGGCCCUUUAAUCUUGUGGCUCUAAACAUGCCACGUGAAAAAUUGAAGAAAUAUGUGUCCUUGUUAAACAGACUAUAAAGGAAAGUAGGUCAUUCUUUUUUAAAUGAAGGGGUUAUGUUUUAACGGCCUUAAGCUCCUUGUUAUCAAGCAAGAUGUGUCCAUGUCAAGUGCUUGUUGUAUGGAGUACAUUGGAACAUGGACGAGCCAUCGUGAUCUAUAUUUAUUUAUAUACAGGUAAAUUUCAUUAUCAAGAAAGAUGCUCUUCAUUAGGAGUAUUUGUUUAGUGAAUUAACUUUUUUAUUAGGAUCACAAAAUGCAAUAUGCGGUAUCUAAAUUUUCAAUAGUGGAGAAAGCUAAACCAUACAUAUCUUGAAAAGAGCAGAUAUCCUUUUCACAUUCUGCUAGAUCAUUGAAUCUUAGUGCAUGAUAACUUGGAAGUCACCUCUAAAGAAAUGCAUAAUGUAUGGGGAAAUUCCUUUCUUUAGUAUAGAUUUUGGUAUUAUCUCUUUAGUUUUUUGUGGUAUGAAUCUAUGGUACAAUGGCAAGUUGAUUACUCUGUCUUGUAUGGAAAAAUACGUGCAUUUGUUCUGGAUAGUGACCUCCUGAAUUUGAUUUAUAGGCCACUUGCAGAUUUUUUUUGGAUUUUCUUUUUCCUUCCUCCUCAAUAAACUUAUUAGCUACUUAGAGAGAUAUUUAUAUAUUUGUUUCUUCUUGUUUUACCCCUACUCCUUGAAGGGAGAGGGGGUCUGUGCAAGUGUCACCUGUUGUGUAUUGCAUAUUGAUUUUACUGGACAAUCUAGACAUGAUUGGGGAUAUCAUCUGCUCUAAUAUGCCUCUAGGAUGAGGGGAACGUUGUAAUUAGGCAGCGUCUACAUAUGGAGUAUGAUUUUUUUCUGUAAAUAUUGUUCUCAACUUGAACUAUUCGGAUGCUAGUCUUGUUUUUCUCGUUUUAAUGACCGAAAAAUCUGUGUGGGAUAAACAACUGCCUUUUUGGAACUCAGAAAUGACGGGCUGGCCCCCUAAUCCUUUUCCAUACAGAGUACACUUGUCACUAGUCAAUGAAUUACAAUUGAGCCCAGUGGUCCUGAAACUAGUGCAAUGGCAAGAGUAAGUGCAUGGUCCCUAUUAUGAAUAAUCAUUUAUGUGUCAUUAUAACUUGAUGUGAAUAUUAGUGCGGGUAAUUAAUUUUUCCUGGACAAAGCUCAUUGCUUGUCGGCAAAAGAGAAAAAAAAAAAAACUCCCCUCAAUAACACCUAUGUUGGAGAGACAUAGAGGAUUUAGUACUGUGUUUUUGAGUCUUAACAUAAUUUGAUCCUUGUCAGAUUCUGCUGGAUAUUGAAAUCUUUCAUCAGAUGGUUUGGCUUGGGACUUCCAUAACAGGGGUCUCAAGUUGGAAAACCGUUGCUUGCGACAACAGGGGGUUGAGCCCAUCAACACAAGGCUUGCCUAGUGCAGUUUACCUCUCCUGUGUGGUUUGCAAACUAUUGCACAGGAGUGAAAACUGCGGGUUCCCUUGUCACUAAAAAAAAAGAGUUAACGUACCUUACUUUUAGUAUAUAUUUUCGUAUCUUUUAUCUCUUCGGUUGUUUAUGGUAUGAGACAAUGUUUAGUUGUUUUCUCUGGCCCUACAUGAAAUGAAAGAUGUGUAUUGUUUUGGACAGUGACCUGAAAUUUUUUCUGGAUUUGUCAUUUGCUUCCUUCUGAAUAGCUACUUGGAUCUUUAUGGAUUUGUUCCGUCCUCUUUGUGCCCACACCCGCGUGAUAGUGGGGUGUGUGGGGGUGGGUGGGUGGGGGGUGUCAGAGUUCGAUAAAAUUUCAUGUCGUACUCAGUUUGUACCUAAGUUUUUUUUCGAAUUAUUUAACGUAUACAUAGUUUUGGAAAACAUCACAGUGAACACACUUCUUCUAUAGUAAUUGUUUGAAUCUAUAGUUUGAUGAAGUGUUCUUGAAUCUUGAAUAUGAAAGUUUAGUUUAAAUCAAGUAGAUAUUGGAAAAAACUUAUAUUAUUUGGGAACCAUCAUUAUUGAAAAAUGAGUUAGUUUUGACAAAUUGAUAAUUUCUUUAUGAUAUUUGAAACUUAUAUCUCAAAUUUGAGCCUAUUUGGAACAUUAGACAUAUAAAGAAAAUAAACAUCAGCCACAUAUGAUUGGAUUUAGGUCGUAAAAAUUGCUUGAACUUCGAUCAUAUGUGCACGAGGUUCAUGCAAAAAUGUUCGAGUUUUAGCCAUAUAUGCAUGAAGUUCAGUAGUGUGUGUGACCUUUUAACGUCAGAUAUAUGUCGAUCUUAUCCCUGUUAAAGUAAAAUGAAUACAAUUGAGCCUAGUGGUCCAAAAUUAGUGCAGCAAAGAGUCAAGUGCAUGGUCCCUAAUAUGAAUAAUCAUUCUUCUUAUAUCUACCCCACAUAAAAUAAAGAUGUGUGUGUACACACUAGUAAUUGCAUGACAUAAGUUUGUACCUAAAAUUUUAUCGAUUAACUCGUUUUAAUUAAUGUAUGUUCUCACAUUAUUUUGUUAUAUAGUCGUAAUGAGUUAAUAUAGUCGAAACCCCUUGUCAGCAAAAGCAAGAGGUCUGUUUUUUGGAUUGAGAUCGUCGUACCAGACUUGUUUAGUGCGGGUUAAAUCUCCUAUGUGGUUUGCUAGCUAUUGCAUAGGAGCGUGGGGUUUUAUCUUUUGCGCACCCAAAGGAUAGCGGCUGCGGGUUUUUCUUGUCAUUAAAAAGAAUUUAAUCGAGUAUGGUGUAAGCAUUGGUUACGUAUAAGUUUUUUGAGCUAGUUGUGUAUUGGGAAAAGAGGAAAAGAACAUCUACCCAUACUAUCCUAUGUAUGGAGGGACAUAUUUAUCAGCUCCAAGUACAAUGAAUUGAAGUCAUAAUCAAUUCAUUGUAUAGUUGGUGUUCCGAGGUCCGCAUUGAAGCUCUAAUUAAAUGUGUAUCGCGUAAUAUAGGGCACAUAGGGGAUGAUGUUUUUAAUAGGAUUUUUUCUAUAUUCAGAGCUCGAACUUGAGACUUUUGGUUAAGGAUUGAGACUUCUAGUUAAGGGUGAAGCAAUCUCACGAAGACAUCAUUGCACCGCAACACAUGUUAUAGGUAAACUUAUUUCGAGAUCUUCAAAGAAGACACAAUUUUCUUUUCCUAAAUCAAAUAUAAAGAAUUAUUGUUAGCUAAUAUUGUUUACUAUUGUCUUUAUUUUAAUUUAUGUCAUACUUUUCUUUUUAUAAAAAAGAAUGAUGUAAUGUUUUUAUAAUAUAUAAUAAAUUGAUUUUUAAGCUUUUAUUUUAUUUUUGAGAUAAUUUAGAAAAAAAAUAUACCUCUCAACUAAAUAAAACCCUAUAUUUUACUUCGACUGUCCACUUUAAUUUGAUUGUUAUGACUUUUUUUAGAGUCAAACGAUGAGAACUUUGAUUAAUAUUUCAUGAUAUAUUUUUUCAUCAUUUUAAUAUGUAAAAAUUUCAAUCUAUAGUACUUUUCUUAUAGUUUUCGAAUAUCUAAAUGUUUUGUUUAAAAUAUCGAAUUAGUGUAAUCUACUUUAACUUUGAGAAUUAGUCAAAUUAACUUUCGAAAAAUCAAAAUAUGAUAAUUAAAUGAGGAUGAGGAAAGUAUAAUUAUGGUUUAGUUUGUGUAUAUAAAAAAAAUCUCUCGAUAAUCUAUAAUUAAGCAAAUAUCUAUCGUUAUUUUUAUGUUAAAAAAGGUACAAUUUUCCCAUUUUAUCUCUAGAAAUAUUGUCUUUAGCAAAACAAUCAAUAAAGGUCCCAACUUAUCCUGACACAAUUGGUACCAUUAGAAAUUAAAUUUAAUUGAAUUUAAGAAACAAAAAUAAAUAAAUAUCAUGGAAUGAUAGGAAAACAUUCGAAUUAUUUUUUCAUAUUUUAAUAAUCAAAAUUUAGAAAACAAGUUUUUUAAAAAUGAAAAAAAUUAACUCCUUUAAGAUGGAGUAGGUAAAAUAAAUUUCACAAAUAUAGAGUUUCGUAUUGAUUGUGUCUUCACACCCUCAAAUGCACCUCAUCUUCAUCUUUACUCCCGUAACCCUCACCCCUACCCAACCAUUCCCACCCCUCGACAGUAUUUGCCAAGAUUAUAUACGAACUCUUUUAGGAUAAUAGUUUUUUACUCGCUUACAUACCAAAAAUUUUUUUUUAAAAAAAUUAAAAAAUUAUUUCUUUAUCUUCUAUCUUUGUCUCCAUAGACCUUUGUGUGGUGUAUAAAGCAUCGUACUAAAAUCACUCUUAUGACAAAAAUUUAAGUACACUUAAUGUGUGUGUAUAUAUAUAUAUAUAUAAAUAAAUAAAGGGAAAAGAGCUUGAUAUAUCCUUUAAUUUUGUCAUUUAGAGUUCAUAAAUUCUCGUUAAGAAAGUGGCUCAUACAAACCCUUAUCAUUAUAUAAGUGGCUUACAUGUUUAAUGUUCAGUUUUACACACGUAUUUUUUUCAGAAAUUUAUCGCCAUUACAAAGGAAAAUUGAUAAACUGCAUCAGAUCAAUAAAUCAAAUCAAACACACUUAAAAGAGCUUGUAAGUUUAGAGAUGUUACAAUAAUGAUUAUAGUUAUAAGAGUGUUAUUAACUAUUAAGUGUAAAAACUUUUUUUUUUUAAAAAUAUAAUCUUCAAAUAUCAAAAAUGUGUUCCUUUCCUUAGAGGGAAGGGACCCAAAAUGAAAAAGUUUUGAAUAAAAUGAAAUAAAUGGCAUGAUAAACUUCGAUAAAUACUUAACUUAGAUGUCGUGAUAUCGUAUUAUCAAAAGGUUUGGUGCAAUGAAUGAAACUAUUUUUUCCUUAAUCGAAAGUAUUAGUUAUAUAAAAGAAUCAUUUAUAAGGACCGCUACCUUUGAAUGGGCGUUACUUGGCCUGAAUCCCCACUAAUCGAACUCCAUUAUAAAUACGGAACACCAAAAUAAAAAAUCUCCCAAAAAGAUAAUAUCUUGAUAAUCAAAUAUUUCAAGUAGUCGAUAAAAUUUUCUUUAUAUCAAAUCAAUUCAAAUAAAUCUCAAAAAAGUUUAAUCAUGAGAAAUAUAUAACUCUGUCAUAAAAAAAUUAAUUGAAAAAGAAGAAUUAUGAGGGUAAUAUAAUUAUACCCACAAUGUUUGUUGAUAAAACUACAUUUCUUUGUAUUUCACUUAUGGUUGUUGUUCAUGUUCCAUUAUUUUUAAUUUUUGUUGAAAACACUUACUAAUUAAUUUGAAAAUAUUGAGAAAUAUUUUAUUCUCAGUAUUUUAUUACAACAUUAUGAAAAUUCAUAAGAGUAGAGUUAGUAAUGCAUAAAUUAAAAUACUUUUUCUAGUUUGUAUAAAAAAUACUUUAAAAAAUUAUAAUUUUAAACAUGCUACAAUAAUGAUAUUGUUAUAAGAGUGUGAUAACUACUAUUUGGUAUGAAAUUUUAAAAUAUAAAAAACGUGUUUUUUCAUUGGUGAGAAGGAACUGAAAAAAAGAAAAAAUUAAAGUUUUGAAUAAGAUGAAAUAAAUAGUAUAAUAAAGUUUGGUGGAUACUUAACUUUUUGAUUUCAUGGCUCCACCAAAGGAUACGUUGAAUAUGGUGGAUAUGAGCUAUUUUUUCUUUAAUUAUGAGUUUCGAUCAUUUCAAGUCGUGAUAUGAAAAAAUUAUUAGUAGGGAGUGUUAUCGUCAAAUAAGCUUUACCUGACGUAAAUCUGCAUUAAUCAAAUUCCAUGACAGAUAUCGAACAACGAAUAUAGAAAACCCCCCAUCCCCUUCUAAAUGACUCGAACAUACAAUCUUAGAAUUGAAUGUGGAAAUUAGCUACUUACUAUUGGAGCAAAGCAAAAUGCAAUAAUUGAGUAUAUUAUAAAGGGAUUAAGGACAUAGAUAUCCUGAAUUAUCGUAAAUGAUAUGCAAAUAUCCUCCGUUAUACUUUUAGGCUUCUGUCGUCCAAAAACUAGAGCAUAUUUACCCUUUAUACUAACGGACAUACACGUGUCAUAAUUUUAUCCACCGAUCCGACAUUUAUGGAAGGAUAAGACUGCACCACGUGUCCCUAUUUUGUCUUUCGUUAGAGUGAAAAGCAUAUACGCUCUAAUUUAUGGACGAUAGGGUCACUAAUGUCCCAAAAGUAUGACGUAGGAUAUUUGCAUACUAUUUAUGAUAGUUCAGAGGUAUAAGUGUCCUUUUUCUCUAUUAUAAUAGAGAAAACAACAGAACUUGUUAUUGUAGUAAAUUUAUUAUCCACAUCAUUAAAUAUCAAAUACUAUUCACAUAAAAAUUCUGGAUACGCCUCUGAACUCAACAACUAGACUUCUGACAUAUAAAUAACUUAGAACCUCACAAUGAGGUGUCAUUUUUUAACAUGAAAGCCACUCAUCAAUCUCAACAACUAUUAGCCCAAAACACUUCAUAUAUAUACAUCUUCUGCUGGCUACAUUUUUAGCCUAGCAAAUGGAACCAUCACUAGAUAAGUCCAAUUAUUACACUGACACUGAUGAAAUGAUCAAUUGGUUCGAAAAAUCCGCCGAAAAUGCUGCCGCUGUACAGCGGCAGACGCUUCGGCGGAUUCUUGAACUCAACCAUGGUGUUGAGUACCUAAAAAAAUGGCUUGGAGAUAUUAGACUUCAAGAUGAAAAUGCUAUGGAAUCACUUUAUGCUACUAUGGUUCCUCUUGCUUCUCAUGCAGAUUUUGAGCCUUAUAUACAUAGAAUUGCUGAUGGUGAAAAAGCUCCUUUACUCACUCAAGACCCUAUGAGAACUUUGUCCUUAAGGUAUACUUUUUUUAAUUUUAUUUUGGAUGGAUAGGGUGUGUGUGGAUGUAGCGGGAUUCGAACCACUAUCACUAUCACUAGAGUGAUGGUGUGGGUAGCUCAUCAACUGAGCUAUAUCAGAUAACAUGUCAACUCAUAUUUUUCUUUAAAUUUGACUCUGUAGAAAUUAUUUUGUAUAGUCAGUGUAUAUAGAGAUAGAUGUAUCUUGUGUUUGAUGUUUUAAUUGAACAAUAUCAUUUUCGACACUGAUGAUUCAAUGGCGAAGCUAUAGUCCAAAAUUACUUUUUAUACAUAUAUAUUAAAUCAUUUGAGCUAUAGUCCACUAUAAGCCAUAUUUUCCUUUUUUAUCGUGUAAAUUUUAUUAUACCGUCAGUGUAUAUAGAGGUGAAUUUAUUGUGUGUUUGAUAAUUUUGACUAAGCUUAUCAUUUCUAACACAUGUGGAUAAAGUCACAUACAGUGAAGGGUGACCACUUAAACACUUGUUCACAUAUUAGAAAUUAUGUUUUUUUAUAGAUAUAUUUUAAUUACUUUUAAGUGAAACUCCUAACUUUGCGACUACAAACAUGGAGUGUAAUAUAUAAGAUGAAAAAUCACAAAAUAUCAAUAUAAAUUAAAUAUAAAUCCAAAAUUUUAAAAUUAUAAUAUGUCAAUGAUAAAACUUUGGAUUAAAUGCUGAAUCUGUUUCUGAAUCUUUACGAAUAACAGUGAAUAAGCACCCUUUUGUCAAUGGAAUAGUUUAUAGCAUGGAAUUAUUUUUUCAUAUACCUAUAUGCAAUAAAGUCAAUAAAUAGAAGCGAUACGAACAGCGUUGAUUCAAUAUCAUAUCCAACUUGUUCAAAAUUGAGACGUAAUGAUUCUUUUUUAAAAUUCUUUUUAGUUCUGGAACCACAGAGGGAAGACAGAAAUUUGUACCAUUUACUCAUCAUAGCUCCCAAACAACUCUUCAAAUUUUCAAAUUGGCAGCAGCUUAUAGAUCAAGGUAUAUAUUUUUUAUAAUACAAAUCUUUUAUAUAUUUUUUUGAAUUAUUUUUAACAAAUUUUAAUAAAACAGGAUUUAUUCAAUAAGAGAAGGUGGAAAAGUUCUUGAAUUUAUAUAUAGUAGCAAACAAACCAAAACAAAAGGGGGAUUAAUAGCAGGAACAGCCACAACACAUUAUUAUGCUAGUGAAGAAUUCAAGAUUAAACAACAACACACAAAGUCUUUUACUUGUAGCCCUGAGGAAGUUAUUUCAAGUGGAGAUUAUAAACAAUCAACAUAUUGUCAUCUACUUCUUGGUUUAUAUUAUUGUGAUGAGAUUGAAUUUGUCACAUCAACUUUUGCAUAUAGUAUAGUUCAAGCAUUCAGAUCAUUUGAAGAGUUGUGGAAGGAAUUGUGUCAUGAUAUAAGAGAAGGUACUCUUACUUCAAGAAUCAACAUAACCAAAGUUCGAAAAGUCCUAUUAGGUAUGUAUCGUUUAAAAGUUUUUUUUAUAGAUAUGUUUUCAUCGAACCAACUCACGUGUGACCCUGACUCUUUUGUUUUCUUUUUCUUGGGCCUACCAUAUGCAAGUUCUUUUACGGUAACGAGCGAUAGUGAGACUUGAAUAUAAGACUUAUAGAUGAUAUUAAUGCUCGAUCAUUUAUAAGUUUAAAAUUUUGUUAGAAAGAGUUAAUUUUAAUUUACUUUACUAUAUUUUCAACACGACCCUUUUCAUGUGCCUUUUUGACUUUUUUUUCUUUAGCCUAUCAAGUUCUUUUAUAGUGAUGAGCGGUAGUGAGACUGGAUUUGUCUCCUUGAUAUUAAUGCUCGAUCAUCUAUAAGUUUAAAAUUUUGUUAGAAAGAUGUAAUUUUAAUUUACUUUACUAUGUUUUCAACACGACCCUUUUCAUGUGCCUUUUUGACUCUUUUUUUUUCUUUAGCCUAUCAAGUUCUUUUAUGGUGAUGAGCGGUAGUGAGACUUGAAUAUAGGAUUUUUCUGGAUUUGUCUCCUCGAUAUUAAUACUCGAUCAUCUAUAAGUUUAAAAUUUUGUUAGAAAGAGUUAAUUUUAAUUUACUUUACUAUGUUUUCAACACGAGCCUUUUCAUGUGACUUUUGACUCUUUUUUUUUCUUUAGCCUAUCAAGUAAAAAAUUUAUUUUAAUAAUGAGUGUUUGUAUAGCUUAAAGAGAAGACCAUAUGCCUACUCCGAUAUUAAUAUUGAAGUGUGUUCGUAACAAUUUUAUUUUAAAAAAUUUAACCGUUAGAAAGAGUAUAUUUUUUAAUUACUUUAUUAUGUCUUCAACACAUUCCUUCAUGUGCCUUGGUUCUUUUUUCUUUGACCUAUCACGUGAAUUUUUAUUUUUAUUUUUAAUAUUGAGUAAUUCUGUAACUUAAACAGAUUGAAAUACGUUGCCAUCUCAUUUAAGAACUUAGAACUUUUAUGGAAAGCACAUGUUUAACUACUUCAUUAUGUCUCCAACACACCCUUCACAUGCCCGCCUCGUUAUUUUUGACCUAGCACGUAAAAAUUAUUUUUUAGUAACGAUUGACUUGAACAAAAGACCUUUUAUCUGCUUUGAUAUCAAUGUUAAAAUAUAGGUAUUUACCAAAAAAAGUAUUCGUUUUUAAUUACUUCAUUAUGUCUUCAACCAGGUAUGAUUGUCCCUAAUCCAGAGUUGGCAUCAAGAAUUGAAUCAAUAUGUGAAGAAGUAGAAAAGGAAAAUUGGGUUAGUAUAAUCCCAAAAUUAUGGCCAAAUGUUAAAUAUGUUUACACAAUAAUGACAGGCUCAAUGCAACCAUACUUGAACAAAUUAAGACAUUAUUGUGGGGAUUUGCCUUUGGUUAGUGCUGAUUAUGGGUCCACAGAGAGUUGGAUUGGAGUGAAUGUGGAACCUUCAUCUCCACCAGAGAAAGUAACUUUUGCAAUUAUACCCACUUUUUCUUACUUUGAAUUCAUACCACUACAUAGAAGUAAGUCUCAAAGUUACAAUAAUAGCCACAAAGAUGCUAAUCUUCUAGCAAAUGAUGAUUUUAUUGAAGAUGAGCCUGUUCCCUUAUCUCAAGUCAAGAUAGGACAAGAAUAUGAAAUUGUCCUCACUACUUUCACAGGUACUAUAUAACAAUUUUUCUUUUUUCUUGUGGUAAAAUAUUUUGUGGGGUGUAUAUUAUUUGUAUCAUUGUUAUUUUAACAUAUACACUUUUUUAAAAAAAAAAAAAAUCUUUGUGUGCUUACCAACUUUGAAAUAUGUGGUGUCUUUAAGUCAUGCCUAACUUCAUACAAAAAUGUCUAGAGUUGUUUUGAAGUUUGGUAGACUUGUAAAUUCUAUAUAUGAAUAGUGAGUAUGACUCAAGUGAUUUUACUAAAAUAGGAUAUAUUUGUGCAUUUUGGUCUAGCAUGUAUCUAUUUUAGGGUUUUGACUUAUGGAAUUCGUAUCACAUAAGGCCUCUUGAUUAGUAUUUAUUUAUUUUUUACAUUCAAAGAUUAGAAGCUGAACCUUUGAUAAAGGUUGAAAUUUUUUAUCCAUUCCAUCGUAACACAUGGUGGUCUAAGUUUUAGUGUUAACUUUUUCCAAUAUAUUCCUACUAUUUAUGCCCCAUACAUAUAGCAUUAAUUCUUUUUUGCUUGUCAUUUCAUGAAAAUAUUUCUCUACUUACCACCAACCAUAUAAGUUAGAUAUUUGGAUGACUAUUUCGAUAAAUAUAAAUAAAAUUUAUAUAUAAACUUGAACAUGCGAGUAUAAUAAAUUACUUAGAAAAUAUGAUAAUAUAAAAAGAUUCUUUAUAAUGUCAGUAUAUAUUGAAGUACUUAAACUCUAUUUUAAGACCACAUCAAGCACUAUACAUCAAUUAUUUGUAGUGACAUGGAUAGUGAGUAUAUCAUCUAGUUAAAUAUUAACAUGGUGUGUCUGAGAUUCCAAGAACAAGGGACUUAUCUUGUCCUUUUCAUAUUGCAAAAAUUUUGCCAUAAAAAAAAAAAAAAAAGGAGGGUGGGUGGGGGUGGGAAAUUACAAAAUCACUAAAUGGUAACUCUAAAUAAUCAUUCAUAAUAAUUUGAAUGGUAACAAAACAAAGAAGAAAAGUGAUUUGAUUCCUCUUGUUACAUAUGUAUGUAUGUCAGUGUAUAUACCUUAAAUUUUAUUUUCUUUUGACUAACUAAACCGUUAUAUGUAGGUCUUUAUCGGUAUAGACUAGGGGAUGUAGUAGAAGUUGCUGGUUUCCACAAGAAGACCCCCAAACUCAACUUUAUAUGCAGGAGAAAGCUGAUAUUAACAGUAAACAUCGAUAAGAAUACUGAACAGGACCUUCAGUUAGUGGUGGAGAGAGGUUCGCGAAUACUAAUAAGCAAGUCAAGAGCUGAGCUAGUAGACUUCACAAGCCAUGCAAAUGUAUCAAAAAGACCAGGCCAUUAUGUGAUCUAUUGGGAAAUCAAAGGUGAUGUUGAUGAAAAUGUUUUUGGAGAGUGUUGUAGGGAGAUGGAUGCAUCUUUUGUUGAUCAUGGAUAUGUUGUAUCAAGAAAAACAAAUUCAAUUGGACCAUUAGAACUUUGCAUUGUGGAAAGAGGUACUUUCAAGAAGAUUUUGGAACAUUUUAUUGGAAAUGGAGCAGCAUUAAGCCAAUUCAAGACUCCAAGAUGCACUAGCAACCAAGUACUAUUAAGAAUCCUUAAUGUAUGUACCAUUAAAAGGUUUUAUAGCACAGCUUAUGGUUGAUACAAUGUUUUUGUAACAUAAGUGAUCAAUUUGCAUUGAUAUUUACUUUAUUUAUAUGUCGUUUUCAUUAAAAACAAAUUAUUCAAAACAGUUGUUUUAUUAAAAAAAACAUCAAUAUAUAUCUAAUUGUGUAUGUUUUUCUCAUUUUGCUCCUAGUAUAAAAAAAACUAAGUGAAGAACACAUACACAUACUUAAAUAUUGUGAUUGUUUAGAUUAACUUUCUUUCUAUAUAUUGAUGAAGAUGAAUUAAGGGCAAAACAGAAAAUAUUGUAAUUUAUAUGUCGUCUUCAUUAAAAAUAAAUUAUUCAAAACAGUUGUCUUAUUAAAAAAACAUCAACAUAUAUCUAAUUGAGUAUGUUUUUCUCAUUUUGCUCCUAGUAUAGAAAAUCCAAGUGAAGAACACAUACACAUACUUAAAUAUUGUGAUUGUUUAGAUUAACUUUCUUUCUAUAUAUUGAUGAAGAUGAAUUAAGGGCAAAACAGGAAAUAUUGUAAUUUAUAUGUCGUCUUCAUUAAAAAUAAAUUAUUCAAAACAGUUGUCUUAUUUAAAAAAGACAUCAAUAUAUAUCUAAUUGUGUAUGUUUUUCUCAUUUUGCUCCUAGUAUAGAAAAUCUAAGUGAAGAACACAUACACAUACUUAAAUAUUGUGAUUGUUUAGAUUAACUUUCUUCCUAUAUAUUGAUGAAGAUGAAUUAAGGGCAAAACUGGAAAUAUUAUAAUUUAUAUGUCGUCUUUAUUAAAAAUAAAUUAUUCAAAACAACUGUCUUAUUAAAAAAAAUCAAUAUAUAUCUAAUUGAGUAUGUUUUUCUCAUUUUGCCCCUAGUAUAGAAAAUCUAGUGAAGAACACAUACACAUACUUAAAUAUUGUGAUUGUUUAGAUUAACUUUCUUUCUAUAUAUUGAUGAAGAUGAAUUAAGGGCAAAACAUGAAAUAUUGUUAUUUUAGGAAUAAGUAACAAAUUAAAAUGGACUACAAUGCCAGUCAUUUUAUAAAAUUUAUACAUAAAUUAUCAUAUUUUACCUAUUAUAUCCUUAAUAGAAUAGUUAAUCAAUCUUGAAAAUGUAGUAUUUAUUAUAAAGUUGACUUAAGAAAACAUUAAAUAAAAGUGAAAGGGUAAAGUUACAUCAUUACUGAAUGCAAGUGCAAAGUAAAAGGUGACAUAUAAAAUGGGACGAUAGGAGUAUUUAUCUUUUUACAAAAUCAAUGCAUAAAUGACAUUGUUCUUCCAAUUUUACCCUUUAAAAAUUAUUAGUUUUGAAAGUAUAAAUUUUUUCAAUAUAAAAAAUCUAAAAAAAAUUCAUGUUCAUUAGUCAAAUCAGUUAAUCAAAAUAAAUUAAUUCAUGUUUAUUUAUUAAAAAUUAACUUCAAAAAAAAAUCAAAUAAGGGCAUUAUAAUAAACGUAACUAUCUUCUUAAAGAAUAUGAGAUCUAAAACGAUAGUAACUAAAUAAAAUUUUAAAAUAUAAUGGACAAAUAAAUAUGAACAGACGGAUUACUCAACCAGUCAUAUGAAUAGUCCAAUCUUGAUGGACAUGUCAUUGUUAAUUAUUGGACCAAAUUACAUGUAACAUUUAGGGAUUGUAGUCCCAAAAAGUUUAUCUAUCACUUACCACAAGUUGUUUGAAAUUUGAACCACAUAUACUUUCUUCAUUAUAUAUUAUUUAACCUCCAUACAUGUUAAAAAUAAAUUGUUCAUUUUAUUUUUCUAAUUUAAAAUAAAUUUAAAGAAUUUUUAUUAAACUUUUUUAUAGUAUCGAUGUCACAAUCAAAAAUUACAAAUCAUAAUGAUAUCUACGUUUUCAUUCGAUAGAUAAGUCAAUCCAAUAACUUAACUAAUUCAACAUAAACGUGAAAAGAUAAGUAGCAAAAAAAUAUCUAUAAUACUAAAAUAAUAGUAUUCAGUUUUAAAAUUUUAAAGUAUCAUUGAUAUAGAUAAAAUUGUAUGUAUAUAGAUUUUAUAUACCAUGGAGAUAGACAAUAUUAAAGAUUGUAUUAAUGAUUUAGGGGAUUUCAAACUCUACUUGAGCUGCUAAGUUCAAACUCUACUGAAAUAACUGAAUAUUAUUUUCUUAUAAUUUAAAUUUAAAAAAUCCUUCAAAGAUCUUUUAUGUGUAAAAAUAUCUCUUUACAUAAAUAAAAGGGAAAAUGCUCAAAUAUGCCAUCAAACUUUCAGAAAAGGCUCAUUUAUGUCAUAAGUCAAAAAUUUGGCUCAUUUAUGUCAUUACCGUUAAAGAAAAGGCUCAUUCAUGCCAUUAAUUUUUAACGGUGGUUUUGCAAAACUAUAUUUGACACGUAGCCAAUUAUAAUUCGGUCACGUCAUCAAUUUUUUUAAUUAAAAAAAACAUAAUUCAGAAAAAAAAUUGAAUUAAUUUUUUUAAAAAAAUAAAUUGAUGACGUAGUCGAAUUAUAAUUGGCCACGUCAUCAAUUUUUAAAUUAAAAAAAUUAAAAUUCUGAAUAAAAAUUGAUUUUUUUAAUUAUAAAAAUUGAAUUUUUUAUUAAAAAAAUUAAUGAUGUGGAUGAAUUAUAAUUGAUCACGUGUCAAAAAUGAUUUUUGUAAAACCACCGUUAAAAGAUAAUAGCAUGAAUGAGUCUUUUCUUUAACGAUAAUGACAUAAAUAAGCCAAAUUUUUAACUGAUGACAUACAUGAGCCUUUUCUGUAAGUUUAAUGGCAUAUUUGAGUCUUUCUGUAUAAAAAUUGAUAAAUUUAUAAAACUCUAAACAAAAUUAUUUAUAUUUUUCAAUAUUUAAUUAAAUAACAACAUAUAUAAAAAUUAUACGACACUAAAGGAGGGUGCAUGAAUAUGACAACACAAUUACAAGUUGCUAGGACAAAUUAAUAUAAAUACAAUAAAUACAAAUAUGAAAAAAGGUCAAUUAUACUGUGGCUUUCUGAAAUAAUGAAUUCACAAACUACUUAAUUAAUUGCUGCCAACACAUCUAGGUCCCAACAGUUAAAUGACAGGGAUACGAAUAAAUUCAGAAUUUAAAAUUUAUAAAUAUUAUUUUAAAAGUUUUAAUGUCAAAAUGUUUAUACUUUUAUAUUAAAUGAUCAUCUCUUCUUUUUAUUACAAUUUACAAAAAGAAAAUGUAAAUUUAUGUUUCAGAUAAAAAAAAAUAAUAGUAAUAAUAUAUCCAGUAUAAUUUUAUAAAUAAAAUUUAAGAAAAUUAAAGUUUACUUAGACCUUAUUCAUAUCUUGUAGAAAUAAAGUUCACUUGAAAAAAAGUGAAACAAUUCGAAAAGAAAAAUACAAAAGACAUAACAAACAAAUAAUUUAAAAAAAACAUUACAUAAUAUUCAAAAAAUAACAAUUAAGAACAACAAUAAAAUAAUACGAGAAUAUUACUAAUAUAUAAUAAUAGAAGUCAAAAUACUAAGAGAUAACAUAUAAUAAUAGAAAUCAGAUUAAUUUAACUCAAUCGAACUCAAUAAUUCAAAUUUAUUUUUUAAAUUAAGAUUUUAAAUUUUAACUCUAUUUUUUAUAUAAUAAUUAGAAAAACCUUUCAUAUCCGAUCAUUCUUCACCAUCAAAAUGAGGGAGAAAAUGAUAGAAAAUUACAGACAAAAGUGCACGUUGUUAAAAAGAUAUGGACGGUGCAUAUUUAAAAAGCGUAAGCGAUACGUCAAGUUAAUUUAUUUAUAUAUAGUAGAUGUUAAAUUUAUAUAUUAUUUUUUAUAUUUAAUUUUAUAUCCUUUUUAAUGAAUUUAAAUAAAUUAAACUUAAUAUAUGUUGAAAACAUAGCAUUUUCUAUUCAAAUUAAUUAGACUUCGAUUAAACGUUGACAAUUUGAAACAUAAUAUAUUUUAUGAAAUUUCAUAUUCAGAACUUGAAAUUAAAACAUUAAUAAAUAUUACGCGACAAAAAAUUUGAAAAAACGAAAACGUGGACAAUUUGGUAGCACAUAUUCUAUAAUUUUUUUUCUUAAUAAAACAAAAAAAAAUGAAUAGUUAUUCUUGUACUGUGAAACUUGUUUUUAUUUACACAGAAAAUUUAAUCAUUGAUACUUAGAAAACUAUAAUUAUCAUCACCAACAAAAAACUUUUAUUGAUUUUGUAUGAUUAUAAAUCGUACAUUCUUGUCAUAUUAUUUGAUUAGAUUUCAUAAUAAUAAUGCACGUUAUCUGAUCAUACAACUGGAAUUUUUUUAUAUCCUGGACAACAACUAAAAAUAAAUAAAUUAGAUCAUAAAAUCAUAUAUAUUUUUAAUAAUUAUUAAGGUAUUAUAUAUAGGUGAACAAUUUGUAUGAAAAUGACAUUUAAUUGUAUGAAAAUGACAUUUAAUCCUAGAGACACACUUAUACUAUAUUAAGACCCUAUUACUCUCCUGAACUUAUUUUAUAAGUAAUUUUUUACCCCUUUUUGACUUACGUGUCACUAACUUGAAAAUAAAAGUCAACCAACGCUUGGCCUACAAGAUAGUGCCACGUAGACUGAAAAGGGAUAGAAAAUUAUUAAUAAAAUUUGUUCAGGGGAGUAAUAGAACCUUAGUAUAGUACAAGUGUGUCUCUGAGAUUACGGGCAUAGGUUGAGGAGGUACUUGUGCGUUAUCCCUUAAUUUUACCAUUACUUCAUUGCUAGUUAUUUUCGUUGUGUUGAAAAGAGGAAAAAAAAUCAUAGCAUUUAAAAAUUUAUUUGAUGAGUGUAUAAAUAAAAUAGUUCUUCACUAGCAUCAAAGAAAUAAAUAAUAACCAAACAUUACUAUUUGUCGUGUUUCAUGACCAAAUUAAUCAUUUUCAUUUUUCUAAAUUUUAGUUAAUACAACUUACUAAGAUAAUUAAAAACAUCUAAACUACUACAAGUUCUGUAUUAGUAACCAUAAAAUUAUUUUCAUGCACUAACAAUGUAAAAGUUAUUUACACAAUCAGAUCACUAUAAAAGUAUUAAAGUCAUGUAUAUGUUUGUGUAUAUCAAUUGAAAAUGUAUAUAUGAUCUACAAAUAUACAUGAUAUGUACAUGUAAUAUACAUUCUCGAGGUAAUAUUUUCCACAUCGAUUUAGGUCUAAAUUUUGAUUCCAUACUAAUCGAAAUCUCCGGCAAUGCUCCUUAACGUUUGUAUAUAGCUUCGCGCUCUCGUUGAUUCUCAACCACACUCACUUAAAAUACUACUCAAAAUAUUAAAUUUCGAGUUUAAUUGUGAUUUUCAAAAUCGAAAAUCGAGUUUAAUUUUACAUUUGGGCUUUUCACAUUGACCUUCUUUUCUAGAAGCCCAACUAUUUUAAAUGGGUUAGGCCCAAUUCAUAUGCAAAAUCUAGUUCUGUUAUAUCCAACCAUAAGCUUUCAUGAAGUAUUAGUGUAAAAGUUGUUUACAUAGUUAAGUAAUUAGUAUGUAAUUAAGAGUAAUUAUAUCUAUUAGAAUUGAAAGGUUAAAAAAUAUAGAAAGUAAUUUGGUGUAACAUGUUAAAUUAUAUUGACGGAUUUAAAUUAUAUGUGGUAUUUUCGAUAUGGAGAAAAAUAUUUUUCGAUUUUCUCAAAGUUUGAUUGGUCAAGAUUUUCAGAAAAUAUUUUGUUUAGAAAAUUAAGUUCUUUAAAGAUGAAGAAAAUAACUUCUCUAAUAAAAUUACAAAAAACAAAUUUGACGAAUGACUUCAUACUGAUUGUGUCCGCCACACCUUCCAACAUACCUCACUACGAUGAUGCGAUUAUUGACCGUUUUCAAAAUCUUAAAAAUGCGUUUAGAUAAUAUGCUUAUUACCACAUUAAUGAAUUUUAAAAAUACCAAAGUUUGUACUUUGCUAUCAUUUAUGGAAUAUUAAACUUACCUCGUGAUUCACCAAAAAAUAAAUAUCCUUGUUGAACAAUAAAAAAAAUAAUGAAAUAAACAAACCAAAAACUGAAUAUUCCAAACAUUGGAGAUUCAUAUAUAAUUAACAAGAAAAAAUUCAUAGAAAUAAUCCCCAUUAUAAAAUCUUAGUACUUUCCGUUUAAUUAAUUAAUUAAUUUUCUUACCUAUAUAUUCCACUUCAUUACACAAUACACAAUUCCUCCACUUCCUAUAAGUCCAAUAUUUGUCUUAUAUAUAUUACAAACCAAAACAAUAAUCAAGAACAAACACUAUGAGUUCCAUUUCUUCUCAUGAUUCACAAAAUGACAUAAAUUGUUAUCGUGUUUAUGUCUCGUUUUGUGGCAAAAAUUCUAACGAUAACAUGUCGAAUUGGAUAUCAUGUUACUACCCUUCAACGAAUUCCUGGAAUACUCAUGUCACAUCUAUUCCAGGUCUUCUGGAGAAUCAUGUCCUCAAGGAUUUCACGAUUACUGUUAUUGGUGAGGAGAUUUUUGUAAUUGGAGGACGACAAUGUCACAAGGAUGUAAAUGGUAGUAUGGAAAAUAAUAACGUUCACGAAAUCGAUAUAGAAAUUCUUCCUUCGGUACUAAAGUACAAUGUUUGUAAAGAUUGUUGGACUAAAUGUGCACCUUUAAAAACUCCAAGGUUUAAUUUUGCAUGUAUGACUUCUAAAGACGGCAAAAUUUAUGUAGCUGGUGGACAAACAACAUUUGAUGGUGCUAAGGGUACCUCUUUGGCUGAGGUUUAUGAUCCUAUCUUAGAUGAAUGGAAGCAACUACCUAACAUGAGCACCACGAGGUAUGGACUGAACUGUGUGACUAUCUCGUCAAAUUAUAAUAAGUUGUUACGAUAAGAGUAUAUUUUUAGUUAUUUGUGUUAUAUUAUGACUCAAAACACUCCUUCUAUAGACCUAAUUAUUUUAAUACAUCAAAUAGAAUACUUUUUGGAGUUUCACUACACAACAUAUCUAAGUGCUUACAAAAACCAUGACAAAAAGCAAUAUAAUCUUCAUUUUUUUAAAAAAUUACGCGGUUAAGCAAACUUAUACUAUUUAAUUACUCAUCAUAGCUAUAGUUUGCUAUAAUUAUCACUCGCGACUAACAUUAUACAUUAAUUUCGUGGGAUGACUUUGAAUUUGUAUAAUUAGUCACGUUCAUUAGAAUAUACAAAUACAUAUGUAUAAUAUACAAUUAUCUAACCGAUAUAAAUAUACAAUUCACCUCUCUCUCACUCUCUGCCCUCUCUCGCUCAUCUCUCUCUCCUCCCUUUCCUAAUCUCUCUUGUCAUAUAUACAAAUGCAUAUGUAUAAUAUACAAUAACCUAACCGAUAUACAUAUAUAAUUCACCUCUCUCCCACUUUUUGCCCUCUCUCGCUCGCCUCUUUCCUCUAUCUUCCAGUCUCGCUCGCCUCUCCUCCUACCUAUUACAUGUAUCUACGAAUUGCAUUAUUAAACUAUAGCUAUGUAGAAUAAUUAGGUUAUUUUUUAGUGACUCUAUGUGAAAGUUCCUCUUCUUUCUUUCUUUUUUUUUCCAAAAUUUUAGCCAAAUCAUUCCAUAAUAUGUGCAUAUAUAUUAUCAAUAAUGUAUAUAUAGCAUAUAAAAUCAUCAGUACUUGUUAUACAAUAAGUAUACAUGGACCACGAUGGUUACAAAUGGUACUUAAUCGCUAGGUGAGUGAAAAUCUUGAUAUAAUACAUAUUGAGUUGCGUAACCAUCUUAUCAAAAAAUCAUUAUUUAGAAAGUUACUCGAUUAUAUUAUGUCUCAACAGGUACAAGUGUAUUGGUGUGUUAUGGCAAGAGAAAUUUUAUGUAGUGGGGGGAUUUGCCAGAAGAGAAAACACUCAUGAUACUCAUCAAGGACCCUACAUUAUGGAAAGAAGUUCUGCUGAAGUGUACGAUCCAGAUCGCGACACGUGGGAUUACAUGGCUAGGAUGUGGGACCUAGAUGUGCCACCUAAUCAAAUAGUGAAUAUUGAUGGGAAGCUCUAUAGCUCAGGUGAUUGUUUAAACACAUGGAAGGGACAUAUUGAGUCCUAUGAUGGGAAACACAAUUUAUGGUACAUAGUGGAUGGUUCAAGUUCACCAAUUUCUAUAUUAGAUGACACACACAAUAAUUGGCCAAAUUUGGAAAGAAUGUUUUGCACUAUGGCUCCUAUAGGGACAAAGUUGUACUUUUUGGCUGGUUAUAGAAAUAUGUUGGGUGAUAACUACAUAACAAGAACAAGAAGUGAAGUACAUGUUUUUGAAACAACAACAAAUGGGAAUGGAUGGAGAAGUUUAAUUGAACCAUUAGAGGAACAAGGGGAAAAAGAGCUUUGUAGCCAUUCUUGUGUUAUGAAAUUGGAUACUUGACUAUAUUUCAUCUUGGCUUGUUUACACUAUUAUCAAAUAAUAGUCAAAAUUAUCUAUCGUAUAUCCUUAUCGAAAAUAGAAUUGACAAUCGAUAUACACAUUGAAGGCAAAUGUUACAUUGACUUUUCUUUCGAAGCUACGUAUAACUAAUUAAAAUUAUUUUGAUUAUACCAGGUCCUUCAUUUACUAUAGAUAUCACUACAAUAAAAAUAAUUUUUAGCGGCAUUAAAUGUUGACACUAAUAAAGAGUGCUAACGUUUUUACCGGCAUUAGUUAAGUGACAUUAGAACCAAUGUCGCUAAAGGCUUUUUAGGGACAUAUACAAAGAGUGACAAUUGCCGCUAAAAAUACAUAUUUAGUGACAAUUAAAAAUUAAAUGCCGCAAAUAAUCAUUUUUAUUAUAGUAAUAAUCCACUAAUUUACCACCCUAUUGAUAUUACUCAUUCAAAAAUAAAAUGCUUCGUAUUAAAAAAAAUUAUAUUUAAUUAAUUAAUCUUAUUCAUUUUAUCAUAUUCUUCGAUGAUUAUUCGGGAUCAAAGUGUUGAGGGUUUUUGUUUGUUGUAAAUUAUCAAAGCAUGAAAAGAAGAGAAAGCAAAUAAGAGAAAUAAAAGUUGGACCCGAUCACGUGACCCGACUUGCACGGGUCUUUCGUCUUUUUCUUGGUGGUCCAAAUCCUCCUACUUCACUUUUUUUUCUCUCGAAUAUUUAUAUCGAAGAUUGAUUUAAGUCAAAUUUAUAUAUAAUAUGAUUUAGUUUUAGAAAUAAUGUUUUUAAUAAUAAAUAUAUACAUAUAUAUAUAUAGGAUUUAGAACUAAAAGUUACUAGUUAGAGGUGGAGGAAUCUUAAUCAUUCAUCACGAUCUAUGUUGGUCGCUCUUUUCAUCUGAUAUGUUAUCGAAUUUUGACAAAAGGUUUAUUUGUCAUGUUAUGCUUUUCGAAAGUUAACUUGUCUAAUUUUAAAAGUUAAAUUAGAUUAUAUUAAUUCGAUAUUUUUUUAAAAAAAUUAGAUAUUCAAAAACUAUAUGAAAAGUACUAUAAAUUGCAAUUUUUUGCAUAUCAAUAUGAUGAAUAAAUUCAUCUUAAAAUGUUGGUCAAAGUUCAUAAAGUUUGACUCUAAAAUAGAAACCAUAACACAAAAUAGAGGAUGGAGAGAGUAUAUUUCUAUUUGAGAAAAAAAAUCAGUUCAUUUCAUUAUUUGUUAACUGAAAUGACAUAAAUGAGUCGAACUUUUAACUAAUGUACAUAAAUAAGUUUUUUUCUCUCAAAGUUGACAUAUUUAAACACUUUUUUCCUUUUCAAAACAAUUAUUCAAUUAAUGGUGUGGCUGAAUCAUAAUUGACCACGUGCCAAAAAAAAGAAUUUGCGAAAUGAAAAUUAUUUUUUUUAGUUAACAAAUAAUGACAUGAAUGAGUCUUUCACAAAAGAUAAUGACAUAAAUAAGCAAAAUUUUAACAAUUACACAAGUAAGUUUUUUUCAAACUUUCGAUAUAUCAGAUCUAAAUAACAAAGUUAAAGAGAUAUAUCAAAUUAUUUAUUUUAAUAAACGGAAAAGAUUAUUUACAGUCUUGGAGUAUGAAAUUAUGAUCAAAUUAUAAUUUCAGCUUCUUUGAAAGUAAUUAGUAUUUAUAUAUAAAUUAAAAUUCAAUUUCAAGCUAAGAACAACUUGAAGGAGACACAACAAUCUGCAUAGUUUGUUCUUAAAAAAGAUUAGCAAAUACUUUUUGAUUUAGAAAUAAUUAAAUUAAAUUUCUUAUUUCUUUUUAAUAAAAAAACAUUAGAGAUGAGCCAAUUAUAAUAUGCCACGUGUCCACUAAAUUAGCGUAACUUUACCAGUUGUUUCAGUUAUAGUUUCAUUGUCUGAGGGAACCAACUGGCCACGUGUCACGUUAAUUGCGCUUAAUCUCUUUACGAGUUUUAUAAAAUUGAUUAAUUUAAAUUUAAAUUUUGUAUUUAUACUUGACUCACGAAUAAUCUAUUUUUUAUAACAAGAAAUUUUUUUAAUAUAUCAUCGAACUAAAGAAAAGAAAAGUCCAUAUUAAAAGUUUAACUCAUUAUUAUGUCAUUGUGUUAGGAGAAAAUGUUCAUACAUAUCACUUAUUUUUCAACUUUGGUUGUGCAAUUGUCUCUGCACCCUCUAUUAUAUUUUAUUUGUCAUAACUUAAUUGAAUAUCGACUUUAUAAAAAAUAUAAUCCGUCUUUUAUAUUUUGUGAUCAUAUUUCAAAAAUAUAUAUAGUGUAUUAAAAUAUUUUUCAAUCUUAUGACCUUAACAUAUACCAUGCAAAAUAUUGAAAUUAAAAGAAAAAUACUAUUGAAUAUAUAUUAAAAAAUGAAUGGAGAAAAAGAAACAAGAUUUGUUUAUAAAAAAAACAUCAUCUUCUUCCCCUCUUAUGUGCAUCAUUUUAAAAGCAAAAACAAAUGCCAAUGUGAUUUGCUAUCGUCGAUUGAAAUUCAACAAUUUAAAUUAUUAUUCUUUUUUUUUUAUCCUUGAAGGAUUUAAUUCAAAUUUUAGGCAAUUAUGGAUGGGCUGAAUUCCUUAGAAGUUAGAAAAAGGAUACGCUUCGUACUAAAAAUAAUAAUUAAAAUUUUAAUCAAGAGAGAAAUAAUUUUAUCUAUGACGAAAUAAUUGUGGUUGGUGUAACAUAAUGUCAAAUAUGAUGAAUAGAACCAGAAAAAGAGAGCCAAUUGUCAAAUUUCUGACUUUGCAGUAUGUGCCAAAAAAAGACAAUUUUAGAAACGACAAAGAAGUAUUGAGAGAGAUCACUCUUCUAAUAAUAAUAAUAAUAAUAAUAAUAAUGCACCUGUCACGAUAACAUUAAACAGUACUUGGUUGAGAUGCUCAUUUGUUAUUUAAUUAAUACAUAGUUUUGUAUUUGUCUCUUAUUAUUUGUCACAUUCUAAGGGAUUAUAUAUAGGCCUAGGCAUCUAGUCGAUCGAGCAAAAAUGGGUACUAUAUUUAAUGUACUUUUGAAAAGAUUUGAUGUGUAAAAUGGUUUACGUGAUAGAGGGGAUGUGUAGUGGAGAUUUGGGUACAAUAUUAUGGGGUAAAUUAUAUUUAGAAUUUUAAUACUCAAAGUUGAUGGAUUUAAUGUAUUAAAAUAUUAUUAUAUAAAAAUUUGAAGAAAAUUUUAUAUAAUGACCGAUGGUGAUGAUGUCUAAUAUUAACGAUGGUUAUGAAAGCAGACUGUAGAUGGUAGCUUGUGAUUGACAGUAAUGAUUGGAAUGGUGGUAAUUUGUGGUAAAUGAUGGUAAUUGAUAAUGUUUGUGAUGAUUAAUAGUGAAGACUGGUGAUGGUGACUGUUGAUAGUUGUGAUAGUGAUGGUUAUUGUAAUUUUAAACGAUGAGUAGUUAAUGGUGUGACGACUAGCUGUAAUAAACGAGUAUAAUAAUAAUUGUGGUUAAAAAUAGUAUGGUGAUCAAUAAUGUUUUGUGAUGAUGGUGAUGGUUGGUAGCUGUGAUACCGAUGGUUGGUGAUUGUAAUUGUAAAUGACAGUUAUUAGUGACGAUAAGUCAUUGUGCUGAAUGUCGAUUAUAAUAAUUGUGAUUAAAAAUAGCAUUGUGAUCGAUAAAAGAUGGUAGUUGAUAAUGAUUAUAAAACAACUAGCAACAAAAAUGAAUGGAGUAGUUGAAAAAUGUCUUCUCCAUGAAAAAUCUUAAUAAAGAACUUUAUAAACUAUGUAUGUCCAACGGUCUAAAGUUUGUUCUAAAAAAUUGUAGAAAUUAUUAGAAUUCAUAAUAUGUGUACUCAUAAAGUUCAUAGUUUGUGACUUGUAUUGUAUUAAUUAGAUUAUAUAUUCCCCCUUAUCAAUAUCUCCUUAUUCGUCAUAUAUAUUAGUAGUCACACCAUCAAUUUGUUUGGCCUUACAACACUUCUUUAUAGAUGGUAUCAUAGACCAAGUAUCAAGUAGUGUUAUAGAUCAUGAGUCUUUAGGAUUACAUUGUAUCAGUUAAACACUUCAACUUAUAAAAUAAUUAGUUAAACACAUUCAGAAUUUAUGUGUCAUGUUAAUAUCAAAUAUCCACAAAACACAACAAUAAAAGUUGAAGUGCCUAAAUCUACAUUCUCAUCAAAAGAUAUUUAUCUGUCUUUUUAGUUACAGAAGACAAAUAUAUCCACUAUUGUAAAUGGUAUAUGCGGAUAUCUUCCGUUAUACUUUUAAAACAUUGGUGCCAUGCCAUUCAAAAACUAGAAUAUACAUACCGUUUAUACUAACGGACAUAUACGUGUCAUAAUCUUAUCCACUAACAACAACUUAUUAAAUAUCAUAUCGACCGAUAAGAUUGCGCCACAUGUCCCUAUUUAGUCUUCCGUUAGAGUGAAGGAAGUACGUGCUCUAGCUUUCUGACGGCAGGGACAACAAUAUCUCAAAAGUAUGAUGGGGAUAUUUACAUACAAUUUGCGAUAAUCCAAGGGUAUAUUUGUCCUUUUCCCAUCUAUGUAUAAUGCCCUUUUUUUUCCCAAGUAACCAUAGAUACCUUCAAAUUAAACAACAUUUUUCCUAAACAAACUAGUCAUUAUACCUUGAUUAUCUACUAUAGUCUUCCUUUUUAUCCUCCACCAUUUGCCCAUCCCAAAGCUAAAAGCUUUUUCUUCUCCCUCACUCUUUUGUCCACUUCUACAAGAACCCAAGAAAAGCUUUACCUUUUCCAAGCUAAUACUAAAUUAAACUAACCAACUUUUCUCAUUGAAAGUUACCCACCUCAAAUCCAUCAUCACUACACACUACACCUCCCCACAUCUCCAUUUUCAUCAACCAAGUAAAGGGUAUUUCUCUGUUUCUUGAACUAUAGCUUCAAAACCCUUUGUUCAGUUCUUUCAGACAAAAUAUCAAACAGUUAGAGUGCAACAACAAAACCCACCUCAAAUUCAUCACCACUACCUCCUACAGUCUUGUUGGAGGAAAGAAAAACUGGGUCUUUACCUGUUUCUGGAACUGUAGCUUCAAUCUCUUUUUUUGAGUUCUUUCAGGCAAAAUAUCAAACACAUAGAGUGCAACAAUGAGCUAACAUUUUGUGUCAAUUGGUGAUGAUACAGAAAGAGAUUACCUUGUUUUUACUCAAUGGGAAGACGACAAAUUAAUGGUGGUAUUGAUUUUUGGGGAAUCGUGCCACCGCCGAGUAUGGCUCCGGCAGAAACAAAUGGUGGUGGUGAACUAGAAGGAGAUCACUGGAGAAACUUUGACAACUCUGUAAAUGCUGUAUCGUUUGGUUUCGUUGCGACUGCUAUUCUUAUUUCUAUGUUUUUAGUAAUGGCGAUUUUCGAAAGAUUUCUCCGGCGAAGACCGUCGUCUUCCGGUGGUGAUCGGAAUAGUUCCGAUCAAAUGAGAGUUCAGAGGAAACUUGAUUAUCCUUCUCCUGAGGUAUGCUUUUAUUUUCUCACUUUUUUACUUAGACGCAAUGUGUGUAAUUCGUUUCGUUUUAUAUGAUAUUAUUUAAUUAAAUAAUUAAGUUAUGAAUUAACGAAAUGUUUUAUUCUCAUAUAUCAAAAUUAAUAUUAAUUUACGAAAGAAGUUUUAGUAGCUAAGUUAAUUGAUUAUCGAGAGUUGGAUUAGGACUUGUAAUUUAAUAUGUUACUCCUUUCUAUUUGCAUUCUCAUUAAAAUGGUUUGGUUAUGUAAAAUCUACUAAGCUAGAGGUACGAUUUAGAUGUGUUUUAUCUUUUUAGAUUUUAUUUAUGAGAUUACAUUAAAUUUGUUGUUAUUAUUAUUGUUGAUUAUGUAAAAAUUUUCUCAACUAAAUAAGUGUGGAAUUUUUUUAAAAAAUAAUCAAUAUCUUUUUUAUUAUGUUGCAUAUUAUUGUUUUGAACUAAAUUUAAAAGCUAAAAACACAAUAAAAGAGAAUCUAUUGCAUUAUCAUUAUAAAAUGAGAAGUUUAAAGUUUAGAAAUUUUGAACAUGAAAAAUUAGAGAAAGUAUUAUUUCAUAAAUGAAUUGAAAUGUUUAUUAUACCCUUGGUCCAUUUUUUAUUUCUUGUUCCUAUAUUAAACAUUAAAUAUCUAUUUUUAUUUGUUUAAUUAAGAAAAUUAAAACUUAAUUUAUCGUGAUGUUGAGAUAAAAUGAGAAGUCCAAAGUUAGAGUUACUAAUUAUGGAAAAUUAAACCAAGUAUUAUUUCCUAGAUGAAUUGAAAUAUUUAUUACACACUCUUUGUCUAUUUUUAUUUGGCUAUUUAUUAGUAUAUGUUUUUCCUGUGCUUUUUGAGAGUCAGUUUAAUUAAUUUUUAAAAUUAAUUUAGAUUAUAUUGAUAUUAUAUAUUUUUUAAAAAAAAUUAGAUAUUAAUUUUUUUUUAUAAAAAGUACUAUAAAUUGCAAUUUUUUUAACAUAUUAAUAUGAUAAAAAAUAAUCUUAAAAUAUUAGUUAAAAUCCUAUUAAAAGAGUUGAUACUUUUAAUUGUUCAUUUAGAAAAUUAAAAAAAUUAUUUAUUGUUUGGUUUUUAAUUAAUUUCAAAAUAUAUUUAUUAUAUUCAAAUAGUAAUAUGAUAAAUUUAUCAUUUUAUCAAUAUUCUUUUAAGAGAUGUAUCAAGUCAAAUAUGAACAAGUAAAAAUAAACAAAAAAAAAAAUAUAAGUUAAUAUUUUAGCCUUUUUAAUAUUAAAUUAUGUUACUGUCUCGAUCAUACUAAGACGCAUAAAUUAAAAUAGGAAUACUUUAUUUUCAAGGACCGCAAUGAUUAGGCUAACUAACUUUUUGUGACAGUUAAUUGUUUUUUUCUUACUGUCAUUAUUGCGUCUCACAUAAUUAUGACUAUUACAAUAAUAACUUAUAGCUGUAUUAUUUGAAUGUGAUUCUGUUCAUAAUUAUCAUUUUGUAGACCUUAGUAAAAAAUGAAUCAUUCUUGAUCAUCAUGUCCUUGGAAAAUUUAUUUUGAAUUUUUGAUCCAAUUUAUCUAACUUUAAACCUAAGACAAAAAAAAGAAAAAGUUAAUUAACAUUAUAUUAGUUAAACAUAAGAGUUUUUCAUAAUUUAUUUGACGGAACUCUGAAUUAGUGAGACUCACAAGCUUCGAAUAACAAAUGCUUAAAUCGGAAAAGAGAAUGUGUCAAUUAUCACAAAAUAUAGGGUGAUGAGAUUAGGGGCGGAUUUAAGAGGGGGUGAGGAUGUUCACUUUAUCUCUUCGAUAAAAAAAUACAUGAUUUUUAUAUAAGGUAUUUUUGAAUUUUAAAAGUUGGCUCAGUGAUUAAGUUCUAUGUUCAAGUUUCUUAGUUCUAAUUUAUUUUUAAUUUUUUUAUAGUUUUAUCCCUAGUAUUGUUUUAGUUAUAGUCCUUUUUCACCAACUUUUUUGUAAAUAGUUUCUAAGAAUAUUUCACAUAUUUUAGCAGAAAAAAUGCUGAUCAACAUUCUUUUAUCAUAUUGAUAUUAAUGAUAUAUGUUAUUUGGACUUUUUAAAAAUAUGAACAGGUACAUUUUAAAUUCUCUAAAGGUAAUGCAUUUGUUGAGGAUUAUAUUAAAAAUAUAAUUGAAUAAUAUAAGUGUCUUUUCUCUAAUAGCUUAAGCUUUUAGAUGAUAUAGUCACAUGCUUCAACAUGAUAUUAGAGCAGACAAUGAUUCUGAGAGUGAAUUUCAUGGCCACUCAUGUCAAAAAUAAUUUUCACAUGCUUGACUUAUGAAAAACAAUCAGGCCCGAACGUGGGGAAGGGUAUUGAGGAUAUAAUAAAAUAAUAAAAAUGUGUUAUCUCUAAUAUCUUAAAUUUUUAGAUGAAAUAGUCACACGCUUCAACAUAAUAUCAUAGCAGACAAAGAGACUCAUAAUUCAACUUCAAUACCUUAAUACUUAUCGAUUAUUUUUAAUCAGCUAACUCAAAGAGACUCAUAAUUUUUAUCAAUGAACUUAAAUUUAUUGGAAACAUCUCAUUCCAAAUAUUUAUUAGACAAGAGGUUGCCAUGAUGGCCCCCAUUGUGUUUUCUGCAUGGUACACUACCAAGUAUAAAAGACUUUUUAGAAAAAGGUUUUUCUAGUUGAAGCCCAUGUUGUGUGUGUCCCAUUUUUAUGCAUAUUAGAAGACAUUAAAGCCCCAUGAUAUGCUAUUUUAUACAAAGAGUUAUUCAGAACAAUAGUUUUUUAAAUUGUCAUUCUUGUCCCAGCAUCUUGUUGAAAGAGAAACUAUAGCUUCCAAUGACAUCCCACCAUAUUUUGACUUUGGAGGCCAUGAUGACAUAUGAGCUUAUGUUGGGAUUCAAUAUUCUUUUUUAUAAUCGCGGUGUUCGAUUAAACUUGUGUGUAUUUUUACUAACUCUACAAGGUACCUGCUAUUUUCCCUUAGCAACUAGCAGAUAUCGAAUAGUUUUGUCAUUUUUAUCUUCGCUGAAAUUUUAAUACUGACAGUGACAGUGUAUAUAACUUAAAUUUCAUUCUCUUUCGUUGAUGAUUCUAAGCUACAUAUGUGGAGACGUCUAUAUAAUGUUCUUCUGUUAAUACUUACAGAUGACUUUUUACGUGAAUGGAGUAUCAGUACUGAUGCCUGGGGAAGAAGUUCCUACCUUCAUCGCACAUCCUGUACCCGCGCCUUCUCCUAUGGAAUCUACAUCUCAACCCCUUCAUCACCAAAACGACGCGUCUCCUUCAAGAUCAGCCUCAACUUCUACUAGUCAUAGCUCCAGUUGACAACAAUACAGAUAUGACAUUGAAAUUUAUGGUUGUCACAAUCACAAAAAACUCUAUGUGUAAGUAGAUAUUUGUUAGGAAAAAUGUCCACUCAUACAUUAAAACUUGAGGGCUUUUUAACCUUGAGGAACUUGUUAUUGUAUUUACAUUAUAGUGUAAUAUGAUUUGAACACUGGCUUUCUUAUUCCAACCCCUUCUUUAUAUGGAACUAGGAUUUUUGUAAGUUGUUCUAAAACAUAAAAGAAGUAAAAACACAAAGAAAUCAAAAGGAUUAAGUAACUAUUUUUUUUAUUAUUAUUAUAAAAGUAUUUUUCGUCUUGUAUAUACGUUUUUCAAGAAGGAAUUGUUAUCACCAAUGGAAGUUGAAUCCAAUGAUCUCUCCCUCCUACCUUCAAGUGUUGAUCUUUGUUUGUGUCGGUGCAGUGACGGAAUUCGAACUCAGGUUGGAUAGAAAAAUUGAACCCUUUUUAACAUUCUGUCAAGGGUCACACUUGUGUCGGUGGGAUCAAAAGUUAAUAUAUAUACAUAUAAAAUUUAAAAAUUGAUAUAACAUACGUAUAUAUACUGUAGUAUUUUUCAGUGAAGUGGGUUUGACCCACUAUAGGUCCGCCCUUGCGUUGGUGUUGAGGUUUUACCCUAUAAUUUAUUAGCAAAAGAGAUUCAAAGAACAUUUUAGUACAUCACACACAUAUUUAAGAUAUGAUUACUCGAAUUUUUUUCAUUAAAUUUCGUCCAAUCAAACUAAGACAUUUUUUCUUUUGUCCCUCCUUAAGAGCUACUCUCUUGGUGAUUCGAACCAACAAUUCCAUGAUUGGAUGUGUCGGAACAACAACAACAUACUCUAUGAAGUUCCACUAAUUAAGAGUGUCUACGAAGGCACUAGGGUAAAAAUAACUUUUAGUGUCGAUAAAUAUAUACAUUAACAAAUUAGGGAGCUAAAACCUUUACUAAUAUUAGUUAAUUCUCAUCCGAUCCAAUGUGGAUGAAGGUUUUAGGGACAUUUACAAAGAGUACUAAUUACCGCUAAAAAUACAUAUUUAGUUAUAAUUAAGUUAUUCUCAUUAAUCAAUUGCCGCUAAACAUAAGCCUUGGUGUCGUGAGGAUAGACUGUACACAGACCUUGCCACUAUCUCAUACUACAACAAAACAUCUUUUAGCGACAAUUAAUAUACACAAUAACAACGAAGGAUAAAAUCUUUAUAGGUAUUAAUUAAUUAACUUUAUUAUUAGGUGAGUCUCACACAUCUCAACUAAUCAAACUUAUCCAAAAUCUUCAAACUUACAUAAAUCCCUCCAAAAAUUUUUCCUGUGAACACCCGCAAAUACCUUCAUACAUUUUUUCUCAUACAUAAAUUCCCCCAAUUUAUUCUGCUUAAAAAUAGGCAAAAAAAUGACCAAAUGAAUGAUAAACAAAAAUUUCAUAACAGAAAAUUACAAAGAAAACAAAUAUUCACUAAUGACUCUUAAUUUAAUUCAAUAAUAAUUGUGCAUUGUGUGAUCAAUGCACAUUUUCUACAUCCCCAAUUAGUGCUACAGAUUAUUAUUAUUAUUAUUUGCAUAUAUUUAUAUAUUUCUGUUGCAUUUUUUGGGUUUGCUUUUAAGAGCAUAGAGUUUUUUUUUUUAAUUAUUGAACAAAAAAAUGGCCUUUAAUGAUAAUCCUUUUGCAGAAGAAGCUAAUGUAAAUCCGUUUGCGGUAUGUCUCUAGCACGAUAGAUGAAUGCAUUGUAUCUGUUUUCUGAUAGUAUUUGCAUUUGACUCGUAGUUGUCUUUGUUAUUCCUCGUUCAAUUAUUGUGUUUCAGUUAUCACAUUAUUUGGUUAUAUAUGGUUGUUGCCCCCUUUUUGGUAUGUUAUGUUUUUCGUUAUUAUUUUCUAUGUCCUCUUUACUUUUGUAUUGUUCCGUUAGAUGCUAUGAUGUUCGUUACUCGAGCUGAGGUUCUUUUGGAAACAACAUGUCUACCUCCUCGAGGUAGUUGUAAGGUGUUUGUACACUCUACCCCCGCUUUUGAGUAAUUUUGAUACAUUGUUGUUGUUUUGAUUUGUAGUUUAGAGGAAAGUGUUGUUCAUGUUGGUGGUGUGGUUUUCAUUUUUUUUAUGGUUGCCCUUUUGUCUUGUUAAAUGCCCAUGGAGUUAAAAUAUUGUUUUAUUAAAAAAAAAUCAUUUUUUGUUUGAAAAUCUAUUGUUUUCGAGCCCUGGAAUGGAAAAAAUCUUGAUAGGAAGUGUUUCCCUCUUUAAUGAACCUUAUACAACACGAUAUUGGAGUAAUGGUAAAGUCGUCCCCUGUAUGCCCUCUAGGUCACUGGUUCGAGCAAUGGAAUAAGUAAUUAAUGCUUGUUUCAUAGUAGUUGUGCCUACAUUAAACUCCCUUCAGGUGUGUCUUUCCUCGGACCCUGUGUAAACACGGGAUGCUUUGUGAAUCGGGUUGCCCUUAAUUAGGAGCUUCUUUACUUUCAUUGCAUACCUUGCUAAUGCAUCAUUUUACUUACUAAAAUGUUCAGAAUGGGAGCUCCGCUCGUGCUUCAACAGUCGAUAUUCCUCUUGAUAGUGCAAAGGUGAGAUUAGUUAGUUGACAACUUGAACUUUGUAUAUUUAGCUUACGAAUGAACACAGUAAUCGUGUGUUUCAUUGUGAGACUACAGUUUAAUGAUCCCUUUUUAACUCGCGUAACUAUUCAGGAUUUGAAGAAGAAAGAGAAGGACCUACAAGCUAGAGAGACUGAUCUGAAAAGAAGAGAAGAGGUAGGCUUGCCUAGCACUUUAUAUAGCUUUGUUGCUUGGACUCUUCUAUAAUGGCAACAUGUGUGCGUGUCGGAUUCUCUUAAAGUAGUGCAUUUUAGAGAAUCCGACAUUGGUAUGACAACAUUUUUGUAGAGUCUGGACACAUUGAUCCGUCACAUUAAAAGAAGUUUACGCAGUAGUAAUUCUCUGUUUCUUACAGGAUGUGAGAAGGAGAGAAGAAGCUUUAGCAGGAGGUACACAUUUUCUCCAUUGUAGCUCUUGAGCUAAUAAUCAAAGUUUUAUUCGACGAAUAAUUUGUUCUUUUAUAUCUGAUCUCUCCGUCUUCUUUCAACAGCUGGUGUUGUUAUAGAGCAUCGUAAUUGGCCACCGUUCCUCCCAAUCAUUCAUCAUGAUAUCGCGAAUGAAAUUCCAAUCCAUCUACAAAAGAUUCAGUAUGUUGCCUUCACUACAUUGUUAGGUACGUUGAUUUUCAGGAAUAUUCUCAACACGCCCCUUCACAUGUUGACUUUCAUUCUUCUUUUCAUUGAAUCAAGCACGUGAAAUUACUUUUUUGAUAAAACAUAAUUGGUGAGACUCAAACUCGUGACCUUUGUCUGCUCUGAUAUCUUUUAACUUCAAACUUUUUGAAUUGCAGGUUUGGCGGGUUGUAUGGUAUGGAACAUUGUGUCAACCGCCUGUAUGUGGAUCAAAGGAGGAGGUUAUUGCGAAACUAAAAUCUUACAAUCUUUUUAAUCCUUCAGAGUCGAUAUCUCAAAUGGUCACUCAACUAAACACGACUUUCUGAGAUAGUAAUAACUGUUAGUUGAGUGACGAUCAGUAUAAAUCAACUAUCUAACUUAACCUUUUUAUGUAUCAUUAUAGACGUUGGCGCAUGGUUUUUCGGUCUUAUCUACUUCUUAGGUAUUCCAUCAGCCUACUUUUUGUGGUAUCGUCCUCUUUAUCGCGCGAUGAGGUAUUAUAUUGUUAUUGUUUUCUCAUAAUUUUGUAAUGUUCUUAUACAUGUCCGUGACUAUUUUCUCAUAUCUAUUCUGUUUGCAGGACUGAUAGCGCGCUGAAUUUUGGGUGGUUUUUCUUUUGUUAUGCGGUGAACACACACUCUUCGUCUUUUUCAUUUCAUUUUUUUGCACUUACUUGUCAGUUAGAAGUCAAGUUUGAGUGUCUGUUUAUGUAUUGUAGAUUCACAUUGUAUUCUGCGUCUUAGCCACAGCAGCACCUCCAUUCGUGUUCAGGCAGAAUUCCAUUACGUAAGUUUGGAUUUUUUUCUCGUCCUUUUUCUAUGAUCGUGGUGUCUGUAUCAGCUUGCCCUUUUUGACUAACUCCUUUUUUACAUUCUUUGGUUCAACAGUGGUUUCAUAAUUGCAAUUAAUAUUAUCGGCUGGAAUUCGAUAGUUGGGGUAAGGCUAUGUCGAAUUUUCAUACAAAUCAAACGUCUUCUCAACUUAACGCGAUCAGAUGAAUGUCGAAUCCAGCCAUUAAACCUUGAUUUUACUUGCAGAUAUUAUACUUCAUUGGUGCUGGACUCUUUGCUCUUGAAUCAGUGAUCAGCAUAUGGGUUAUUCAGGUUUAGACCGGAUUAUAUUUGUCAUUUUCUCUCAUGUGUACACUUGGUUAAAAAUAUCUUCUUCUUUUUUAUGUAUAUACAAUAGAUAUUGAACCCGUCUCUGCUCUUACGUGACCCUUUUCAUGAUCUACAAUAUGCAGCAAGUGUUCACGUAUUUCAGAGGGAGUGGAAAAGCCGCGGAGAUGAAGAAAGAGGCUGCAAGAUCAACGAUUAACACAGUCAUGUGAGAGAGCUAGAAAAUUUUCUGGAGUUUUGAACUUUUGUCAAGUGUGGUGUUCUCUCAUUGUUUCUUCUCACACCUUAGCCAUUUUAGAUAAGCUUGGUUUUUUUUUGGUUAAUGUGACUUCUCAAGUACAUACAUAGUGGUUGUAAUAUGGCUUUUGGCUAUACUAGUGUUGUGUUAAUUCUUAAAAUCUCAAAACUAUUUUUCACAUAACUAAGGUUAUUUGGUACAUUAAAGUUGUAUGAAUGUACAAUGUGUGUGUGUUUGGUGUCAGUCAACAAUGAGAAUUGAACUCACAUAUAUACCUCGAAAUGAAAAAAAGAUAUUGUUAAGCGUUUGUCGUCCCACAUCAGUAGGAAAUGAGAAGUAGAGAGUUGAGAGGUAAUAUAAAAGACGAGAUUUGUGAGUUGAGUAAGGUAUACCUUUCUCGGCCUUUUGGCUAAGAUCAAGUGUAGUAUCUGUUCUUAUCAGUUUAAUAUCUGAUAUGUGGGUCAUUGACUCACACGAUAUUAACUCAAUUUUUUAAGGGGGAGGUCCAUCAAAGUAGCUUGCUACUUGGGUCUUCAUGCGUCGCCUAGGCUUUGCACUACAGCCCAGGCCUGGCGCACCCCACCAAUUCAAGUUAAAAAUAUUUGUGGAAACUAAGCAAUUACUUUAGC
RNAcentral lists this long non-coding RNA (49260 nucleotides) under Solanum lycopersicum (tomato). RNAcentral's name for it is "long non-coding RNA (SLYC_LNC000735)". The stretch from base 49020 to 49214 matches the Rfam family "U2 spliceosomal RNA". The record is from RNAcentral. Lineage: Eukaryota; Viridiplantae; Streptophyta; Magnoliopsida; Solanales; Solanaceae.